RNAcentral lists this long non-coding RNA (51310 nucleotides) under Brachypodium distachyon (stiff brome). RNAcentral's name for it is "long non-coding RNA (BDIS_LNC002155)". Lineage: Eukaryota; Viridiplantae; Streptophyta; Magnoliopsida; Poales; Poaceae. The record is from RNAcentral.
GGAGGAACAUAUUUUUCUCUCAUGAUUUUCUUCAUAUCAAUCCAAGUGUGAGGUAUUUUGUUUUCUCUAACUAUCUCACACCACCAUGAUAAUGCAUCAAAACGAAAUUUACUACUAGCAAUUUGGACCUUACGACUAUCUAGUACAUGGAAGCAUGUGAAUUGUUCAGUUAAAGCUAGCUCCCAAUCUAUAUACGUUUCAGCAUCAUUUUUCCCCUCAAAGAAAGGUACACACAAUUUAAUUGUAUUAGAAGGAGUGUUUUGUACCGUUGCCGUGGCAUUAUCAACAAGAGACGUGGAGGAUGGCCGGGGUGAAAAGCACUCAUCGCGGUCACGGAAUAGCAUCGGUCUAGUUGCCAUGCUUCGUGUAAGUCUUGUCAUGGUUAGUAGAAAACAAGAAACAAAUCACAGUAAUAUGUUCCUAUCAACUACUAGGAUGUGGCUACAAGUCGCUCAACUCUCAAGCUAAAAAUCAAGUUCUUACGAGUUCUUACCAUGCAAAACAGGAAGGUGAUGGCCAGCGGCGUAACCAACACCUCCGGAGAUUAAAUGUAUCGAUGCCUCGGUAACAAACCAACCUAGGUGUAGAAUCUGUGGAGCUUGGAGGCUUUUGUGAGUAGCAAGGAAUAGCAAAUAAUCAAAUCAGCAAUGCAAAGUUGAAAAUAUGCUCAAUAAUGCUAGUCCUAGCUGCUGGAGUCGACAAGAACGAAUUACAGAAAUUAACUAAGCCUAGAUACUGAAAAAGGUAUAAAGGAAAGAUCAAAUGAAAGGUAAAACAAGUAAAUCUCUGGGGAAUAUUUUUUUUCUCUUUUUUUUUCUUUUUUUUUUGGCCUUCUGUUUGGCUUCUUAUUCUUUUCUAUUUUUUUUUUCUUUUUAUCCCCAGAAACUCACGCAAAAGAAGUUAAGACCGGAAAGCUGCACGUCGGUCUGUAGGAGAAUAGCAAAGGCUGUAGUAAGGAAAACUCAGAAAAAUAUGAGAAAAUAUGGGUUAGAAGCGUAUCAAAACAAGCUUUCCAACAAGUGCAAGAUCACUCGAAACGGAGGUCGGACGGUGGAGAAAACUGAGAUAUACUGCGCUGCCCCAGUGCCGUAAAACGGGUGCUGAAAUUUGGAGCUCGAAAAGUCCACCUUAGAGGACGAAUUUUAGGGUCAAAGUGCAGGGCUUUGCCCUGGAUAUUUCCUGAUGCGGUUCGUCGUGAGCUUUCCAAAAAGUCCAAGAACGUCCAAAUCCGAGUUGGUAUGCAAAAGAUACGUCCGUUUUACUGAACACGGGUCAAACCCACCCGAAACUAAAAUUCUACUCGGACUCGGGUCCGAAACUGACUCGAACUCUUUCUCUUUUUUUUUUCGUUUUUUUUUCUUUCUUUCUUCCUUUUUUUUCUUUCCCUUUUUUUUUCACAACUUUCCGAACAAUUUGAUCUCUAAACAAAAUUCGAUCUAUUAUGACACACUUUCCAAAAGCACUCUUGAUUGGACUCAGACUCGAACUCGCGGCUGAAAACUAUAACUUUCCGACUCGAUGUAGGACUCGAAGAGGGACUCGGUGUAGGACUGGAAGAAGGACUCGGUGUAGGACUUGAAGAGGGACUCGGUGUAGGACUCGAAGAGGGACUCGGUGGAAGAUAUGGUGGAGGCGGGAGAUUAUGGCGGUGGUGUGGCAGGAAGUUUGGCGGCGGAAGAUUGAUGAAGGAAACCUGCGUCACACGAAGAACAAGAAAACCAAAAGAAAGUUCGAUCUAGUAGAAAAAAUCUGAAAAACGAUCCAAUCUAAUCCAGCAACUCGACACGAUUAAUGCAGCAAAGAUUCAACAAUGCAAAUACUAAAGUGAAAAUUGCAAGGCUCAGAUUGGUUCUAGGACAAGGUAACUAAUUCUAAUUUUUGUUUGGCUUUUUCUGGACGAUAGGUAAAAACAGAUCUAAACUAGGGAUAAACUGGAAAAAUCUCACCGAGCAACCUUAAGCUCUGAUACCACGUGAUACGGGUGCGGGUGGCCCGAUCUUUCGAUGAGAUUGGUAACUCUCGAUUUGGGUAGGAGGUGACGUUGACGAUCCGACUACGGCCUAGGAGGCAGCGCCUUAUCAAUCGAUACACCAACUCCAAAGGGUUAUCGAUCACGCGGAGGCACGAUCAACCUGACCACGAAGGUCUUUGUUCCUGCAAGCAAUCGAAGAACAAGCACGAACAAGAUAAAUAGCGGAUGCAAUCUAAAAUUGCGAAUAUACUAUAUCAAACCAAUGUCUCAACGAGACGAUAAGUUGGGGUUCCGAAAGCGGUAAAACAGGUGGUCUAACCGACACACGCGAUUACACGAAGUAGUAGCGAUGGCUAACUUUUAACUAAACAAAACCCAAGGCUCCUUAGGGGGGCUCAUGGGGUAUAUAAAGGAGGAGGGAGAGAUAUUUUCGUCCACCUUGAAUAAGGAGUCCGAAAUCCAACUCUAUCUCUAACUUUCCUAACAAACUACAACUCUUUAGGAAACAGAAAAACAGAUCCGUCAGCUUGUUUUGUCCGUCACGGUCAGCACGAGUCGAAUCUCUUUAUGGAGCCAGAUCCGUUCGAAAGGUCUUGUAAUUACCUUUCCAACAAGUACUUGUUUGCUUGAUUUGGACUCCGGAUGCGGCCUGGGUGAUUAAAACAAAUUCGGGUCUCCUGGCAGCUCGGACCCGAAUCGGAUUCAACUUUAAUUCAUGAUAUCUUUCUCUAGCAAGCUCCGAAUCAUGUGCCGUUUGAUUUGUUGGAAAGUACACUUGAAAUCCUUCCCUCUCAGCUGCAUGAAUGCUUGAUUCUUGUUGGCCCUCCCGUUCGCCUCCACCGUAUCUCAUCUUGACCUUGGACUUGAAAAGCUCGACAAGAUGCCUACGUAAUAAAACGAGACAAGAUAGUAGUAACUCCGCCUCUUCAUAAGUAUGACAAUAAAAACAAUUACUACUUGAAUUCACCUGAUUAUAAAUCUUGUCAAAUAUUAUAGAAUUGAGGGUACCAAAGGUCGUAUCCAUGGUUAGCAUGUCCAUAUCAGAAAGCAUUGCAGAGCUGAUGGAUGUCAUGAAUACGACAGUGGAUGAGCUGCUGAUGGAUGCCGUGAGCACCUAUGGCAAUAUGUUGGAUGAGCUGACCAUACUGGUAAAUGUAUCACAUGAAGCAAGUAUAAAAGCGGAGGAAAAGCUGGCUGUCCUAGAAAAAAGGUUGGACGCCUUGUCCAGCAACAACUCAGACAUGGCAAACUAGCUAGCUUGUGGUGCAAGGUUGAACUGUCAAUUUGCAUGCUUGAUCGUGCGAUGCAGGUCCUCGUUGAACUGUUAUUCUGUAUGCGUGAUCGUGUGAUGGUGUUGUGCACAUAAUAAACACGGCGGCCCGAAUUGGCGCAUGGAUGAACUGUUGUGAACAACCCCUCGCAGCACCAUGGACCCACCUGUCUGAAAAAUUCGAAAUUUUUGACCACAAAUUGGCGCGUGGAUCCGUGGAUAGGUCACCGGCUCACUACCCGAAGCCCACUACUCCACAGCUCCACAAGCCACUACCCCUACCGCCUCCCUCUCAAACAGCCGAACCGACUACCCGUCUGCGCACUGCAAAUCCACCGCCAGCCGGUGAGUGUAGAGCCUUGUCCUCCGUACAUCUCGACCACACAUCCCCAGCUAUCACGUCGUCGCGGCGCUCCAGUGGCCGGCCACCCAUCCGCGCCCCCCUUCGUGUCCCUGUCCGCUAGCUUUUCCUCCUUCUUUGCGCAAGCCUUCGCGAUGAGGAACGCUUUAAGAUCUGGUUUUGUCUUUCUUGCCGCGAUUGUUUGACCGAUUCCUAUGAUCAGCUAGCUAGUUAGUGGUUGAACUGCCCCGAUCUUUUAAUUUUCAUGGGUUUGUAGUUGAUCACAUGGAUCUUACUUUCAUUGCUUCGUAGUUUAUUACUCACUCCGAUCCAUAAUAAGUGUCUAAGACUUGUUAGUACAAAAUCCGAGACACUUAUUCUGGGUCUGAGGGAGUACAUGGAUGUCGAUUUCGUAGGUUUGUAGUUUAUUACAUGGAUCUUGGUUUUGUGGGUUCUUAGUUUUUUUUUUACCAAAAACUGUGGGGGAAACCCCUACAGCAACUUUAUUAAUAAAAGGAACAACACUGUACAAGGGACAAAGGAAGAUAAAAACCUUAUCUAACUGCCUACUGUUACUAGUAUACAACAAAGAAUCUAGCAAAGCCACAAACCAAGGAACCAGCCCCGGCUUGAAUCUAUGUCUCAAGAGAUGAAAGUCAUGAAGAAAAUUGGCACGCCAGGAGCUGAAUGAAGGCAUAAUCCUAGAAAAGAUCAAACCAUUGCGUUGUUUCCAAAUGUGCCAGCAAGCAAAAGCUGCAACCUCAAUCAAGAAUGGAUGUCCAAAGGAAUUCCCCGGCUGUCGAACAACCACAUCCAAGGAAGAACCAGAUCGCCAAUCAAUUUGGAGAAAAGACCAAACUCUUUGGCUGAAAGUGCACGAGAAGAAAAGAUGUUGCCUAUCUUCUAGGAAACGACCACGGCAAAGAACACAAUGGUCAUCAUCAUCCAUCCUCCAGUGUCGUCGACGCAUCAUAUCCCUCAUAUUAAGACGAUCCACCAGUAACAAGUUUAACAUGGAUCUUGAUUUCGUGGUCCGUUCGUAGGAGUAGUUUAUUACAUGGAUCUUGAUUUCGUGGGUUCUUAGUUAUUACAUGGAUAUUGAUUUCGUGGGUUCGUACUUUAUUACAUGGAUCGUGAUUUCGUUGGUUCAUAUACUUCCAUGGAUGUUGAUUUUUAGUUGGCUCCUAUGGUGUUACAUGGAUCUUGAUUUCGUGGGUUCGUAGUUCAUUACAUACCUGAAUGUUGAUUUCGUGGGUUCGUAGUUUGUUAGAGGGAUCUUGAUUCCGGGUUCGUAUUUAGUCACAUGGAUCUUCAUAUCGUGCGUUCGUUUAUUUCCUUGCAAGAGUUACUUCUGCUUAUUCUCUGUCCUGCGACAGAAAGACGUCCUGGUCCGUUUGCCGACGCAACCCGUGGCCUCAGUUUUCCCAAUCCUCUUGAUCCAGACGAACAAACAAAUCAUAAAAAAGUUCGAUCUAAACGGGCGAGAUGCCAGGUGCUAGUUCCUCCAUCAUGUGUUGUUUCCUGGUUUGAUGGCGAAGGCUAACUAAUUGUUGUCUUGCUCGUUUGAUUGAUCGGUAUUGUUAUGUGCUUUUUACCAGGUCAGUGCUGACUCGAAAGAAAACAUUUGCCCUAACAGUGGACUAGGUGUGCUGAAGAAGCAGCAGUCACAGGACGCACCAACUCGGACACACCAAAUAUCCAGCGCCAGCAAAAGACAGAGUGAGACCGAACAACUACGUUCAAAGGUUGCAGCUAGUACCUUCGUACUCUGUCGCACCUUAUUAUAUAUUUUGCUUGAUUGCGAUUGCUGAUAAUUGUUGUUAUGCUUGCUUCACUGAUCCAUAUUUUGCUGUGUUUGUUGCAUGGGAUUCAAGACUUCCAAACAGAACAAAACGAUGGCUGAUAACCAUCAGAGUGAUGGCAGGUGGGCACUAUUUGUCGUCGACAAUGCAGAGGAACAAGAGAAUUUUGGCAUCCUUGAGUACUGAAGGACCUACCACUGAGAGUGUUAGUAAAAAGCAUUCACAUCUGGGACAACCAUUGUGUAAUUCGAGCCUUCAAGACGCAUCUGUAGUUCUUUCUACCAUGGUAUCGUGCCAUAUUUAAUACCUUCGUUUGGUUGUGGUUGCAAAUUAAUUGUUGCAAUUCUUGUUUGAUUGAUCAAUUUUUUUCCUGUGCUUCUUAGAAGCCACCGAAGCAGCCGCAAGACAAGAACAACAGUGGUUUCUCAAACAGUCUGGGCAUCUUGCCAGGAAUGAGAACCCCAGAUCAUAACGGCACAAAUCGAGAAUCGAGUAAUUCUGAAGAAGUUUCAGGUGCUGAUCCAGAUUCUGAAAUUGACCCCUUAGUGCUAAGCCUACCUGUGCGAUAUGUGCUAGAAGAGAGGAGCGCUAGACCUACCGAGGCAGUUUCAGAAAUUGACCACUUCGUUCAAGAGGAAAGGACUCCGACCUCAGCGGCUAGCUCCGAAGCCGUGGUGCUACUUCCUCCGUACCGUCGUUCCUUAUUUCAUAUAUGCUCUUUGAUUCUGCACCCGAACAGAUUGUUGUCAUGCUGCUUGCUUGUCUUGUCCAUAUUGUGUUCUUAUCAGGAGUGGAAGAAUAGGCCUAACCCGACGCAUCCACUUACCCAUCUGGGCACGAGAGGCUGACCUGUGCCAGACGACAGAAGUGGACCUACUCAGUCCAUUGUUCAAGAGCAAGUGGUUCAGACCCCUGCGGGUUGUGGUUCUACUUCCUCCAUAUUGUUGUGCCUUAUUAUAUAGUUCAGCUGUUGUCAUCCUCAGCUGGUUGGUCCAUUUUGCGUGCUCACCAGGCGUCGAUCGAGAAAAGACGAUCGGCGCAAGAGGAGAGAACUGCCAGACCUAGCAGCUCCCAUCGAUCUGACGAAAGUGAGUGCCCUACCAGUGCUUACCGCAUUUAGCCAUGUGUACCCUGAAGAGCUCACUUGCAUGUAUGUUAGUUGUUGGUGCAAUAAUGACCACGCACUGCCUGCCUGCCUUGUUUCCUAGGUAAUGAUGUUUUAGGGGAUGUCUCUACGGACAAUGAACACCCUGCGCACUUGAUGGACAAGGAUUUGGGGCUACGACAAGAGACAACUCCGUCUGGCAAUUGGCUCGAUGGCAUGUUUCUUGAGCUAAACUUUUUCUUCCAGAAUCUUUUCGCCUUUGACCAUAAUCUUCUCAACAGGUUUUUUUAUGAGCUCUUGUAUGUUACCCCGAAAUUAAUUAAUACCUCUUCUAUGUUACCCUGAAAUUAAUUAAGACCGUUAAUUUGUUUUGAUCUAAAGGCUCAGUUAAGUUGGUACUCCCCCUUACUCAAAUUUAGGAUCGUGGAGUACCCCAACGGAGUACUGAAAAAGAACGAACGAAGUAUCAGGCAUGGAUAAAAAUGUAAACAAAAAACCGUGGCUUAUCUUUCUCGCCGUUUCCUCUUCUCCGUCCGCCUCCGAGGGGCCUCCGCCGCCGUAGGCCGCCUCCCGAGGUCUCUCCGCCGCCACAGGCCGCUUCCCAAUCUCCCUCCUCCGUCGCGUCAGGUGUUGUGGCUUUCCUUCGGACGCGCGCGCGAGGCCGUGGGUGCGGCACUGACGUCGACGUUAAUUAGCGGCUGCCCGACGAACGCGAGGGAAAGGACGAGAAGACCGUGCCGAACCUGCCGCAACUGCUGGACCCGAGCCCCAGGAACACGGCCAAGAAGUGCGCCAUCUCCUGCCUCCUGUUGCUGUCGGCGAGCAAGCUAUGAAGAAGCUCCGUGAGAUGGACGUCACCGGCGUGCGGCACGAAUCCUUGAAUGGCGGCGGCAGCGCUGCGAGGAGGUCGCCGGCGCAGGAUGGGUGGGUAGCAGCGGCGGCGCGCUGCGAGAAGGGCGCCAAGGCAGGCGGCACGGGCUUGGCGGCGAGCGGCAGCAGCACGUUGCGAGGAGGGCGCUGAGGUAACGCGGCAUGGGCUGAGCGGCGAGCUGCGGCGGCGCUGUAGGAGGGCGAGGACAGCAGCGGCGAAUUGCUGCGCGGAGGGCGCCGCCGGUGCUUCAGAGGAGUGCGGGCGAUCGGGAUUCAGGAGAAAUCUGAUGCUGAGUAGUAUAUUUUUUCUUUUUUCUUUUAGUGUGAAAAGUCUGUUAUACCCCUUCUUAAUAAUCCACCUAAACUCUGUGGAGUAUCAGGUACCGGAGAAAACGUUAUAUGUAGAUUUCAAAUUUGAAGAUGCUCCCGUGCGAAGGGGAAAAAACCGUGGAGUACAACUCCACAAGUUGUACAAAUCUACUGGCACUAAGCUGCCAAUCAUAGUCCCCCCCGGGAGUUCUGGGAUUUCUUCAGUUAACACAGCUUCGAAGUUUGCAACCGAAUGCAACAUUGCGGUUAGGAACUUGAUACCAAUUUAUGUGAAUUGGAGCAAAUACAGGAAGAAGGAAUAGGUCAUCAAACUGUUUCUACACAGACUCAAUGUACAUAAACUGCUAGUCUUUGCCCCCUGUAGUCUUUAGAUAGCUGGUAAUUUUCGUGCAUUGCCAUUCUAAUGCUUGUUCUUUCAUGUCAGCAGGCAAAGUUUGCAAUUGAUACCAAGGAUGAACGGGUGAAAGCAGUCUGCAUCGAUUCUCUUAGGAAAGCUGUUAAGCGAGAGCGACACCUGCUAAAAAACUGCAGUUCGACAUCAAGUGCCCUUGUGAUGUGCCCUUGCUUAGUCCUACCUACAGCAGGAGUGACGAUAACUGGAAGAACUGGUCAAGCACUGGAAUAAACCUAACACAUUCGUCAGUUCCUUCCUGAAAUCAAAGCUGUUGUUAUCGACAUGGAUACAUAUACCUGUAGUAACUGUACCGUUCUAGCAGAGGACGUGCCAAAUCAACAAGGAGAACCGCUCAAAGGUUCAGUUUCCUCAAACAACCGGUUCGCGCGGCUAUGCAGCUGUUAUGGUUAGCUUGGUAAGUUAAUAGAUUUGUAUUAGUUGAACAGAAUGUUCUGAUCGUUUUUUAUAGAGGACAAUUAAGCGUCUUGCUUGUACGUAUAUCUUUUCAGGCAGACCAAUUCGAGGGUAAAAUACCAAAUGCUCUUGAUCUGUUCAUGCUCUGCCACAACAGCAAGCAGAAGGGCUUUUCCACAUGUGCAAAAGAUGCCAUUGUAAGACAUCUUUCAAUAUGCCCUAGGUAAAGCAAAUCGUACGCUUUCCGUGGUUAAUUACCAUGUCUAUCCAUUGAAUGCAAGGGCGACAAGGAACAAAAGCUUGUCGGACCUAGAGCAAAUGGUGAAAGCAGGAAUGCUUCCUGGGUUGUAUCGGAGGUUUUACUGAAGCGUAUAGUGAAACCUCGUUUCCUUCAGAAUGUGGGGGUUGAGCCAAAGCCCGUUCGAACCACAGCAAAGAUCCUUGCGGCAGAAGUGCACCGGAUACAGGAGGAGAAUGUUCAGCUGAGGGAUGUUUCCAACAGGCAGCACAAACAAAUAGCAGAGCUGACGAGGCUUCUCGCUGAAAACAAUAAAGCUGCACCCAGGCAUUGAAGCGAUGCACGCUGCACGGGAGGCCCAGUUUUUUGCUCGGUACAAUGAGCUCCAAAGGUACUGUGCUGCCCUGGUCGUCCGAUAGCUGAACUGUUAUUUUUGCUUGCCUGAUCGUUGGAUGGAUCAAGUGCAUGAUCGAACUGUUAUUUUGGCUGCGUAUCGUGCGAUGGGAAGCUGUGUUCGUAUGCCAUUCGCAAAAAUGGCACCUCUGUUGUCGAUGUAUUGUAUUUCUCAUGUGCUGGGGCCUGGGUGUGGUGAAGCUCAGCCUUACGUCCCUGGUGGACUGUUUUAUCUUUAGUACGAACGUAUAGGCCGUAGCUUUGUUUGGCCUCGUUAUUAUUGGGCCUUACGUGGUACCAGAAUAGAACGAAUGGCCAGAUGAACAAACCGUAAACGGCCCUGUCGACAUGGGCUGCCCCGAUACUACUGGGCUUGACAAAAAUUCAUUAAAGAGCCGGCACUUUACUCUUGGGCCUCUUAAGAAAAAUGGUAAAUGGGCCGGCCCAUUAAUCCGAGGCCUGUUGACAAACCGUAAAUAGGCCGGUCUUUACUGUUUCUCUGGAUGAAUAAUCCGUAAAUGGGCCGGCCCGUUACUACUAGGCCUCGAUUUAUGUGGGCCGGCCUAACUAGCCUUAACGGGCCUACCAAAUUCUUGGGCCUCGAGGGACACGUGUCUGUACUCGAGGAAGACACGUGGCCCAAUAGGAAACCGAAGUGCGGACCGUCAGGAUGCCGACGCGCGUCCUGUCAAGAUGCCAACACGUGUUCACUCGGCAAGAAGACACGUGUCCAAUUAGGAUGGCGACACAUGUCAAGGCAGCAAGCCCACACGUGUAGCUCGGCAACGUCGACACGUGAAACUAUGAAAAGCCGACUCGUGAACCAAUCCGAACUCGACAUGUGUCGUCCUCUGACAGGUCCGUACAUCGGACACGUGUCGUCCCUGUGGCCUACCUCGUGGCUUUGACGGUCAACACAUGUGUUAAACGUUAGAUUCACUCCUAACAAUGCUGACGUCAUCGUAUCAGUGACAGCUUGACCGGACUUAAUGGGCUGGGCGGAGCCAAGGCUUGGUAAGGAUCGAGACGGCCUAGGACCGUCAUUGAGGGCGAACUUGGUGACGGCUGGGACGUUCUGUCAUGAAGUACAAUCUAUGAGCAUGGGUCAAAGAUGUUUAGCAGGACUGUCAUAAAAUAUUUUUAGGUGACGGAUUUUUGGCCCAUUAUUACGGCUUCAGAACGUCAUAGUUUAGGUAAAUUCUUGUAGUGUUAAUGCCCUGUCUUCACUAUUCUGCUGCCCCCACCUGUAAGCCCGAGUGGAGGUUCUCGGGAGGCGCUCCACGACUCGGGCUGGGAACGUUGCGGGGACUGCAUGCCUUGACCUUGCCGGGACGGCGCUUCUCGGGUUGCUGCUGCAGGAACGUACCCUUCCAAUUCUGGAUCUUGGCUUUGACAUUGUCAAAGGUGUCAGAACUCUCAUCCUCCAAUGUGUGAUGGUCUUGCUAGUGAGUGUCUUCUCGUGGGGUCAGUUGGUUGGCCUUGCGGGAGGGGGGGGGGGGGGAGGGGGCUCACCCUACUCGGAAACUUGUCCUUGCGGGACCGUGGGCGUUGCGACCCACUCGUCCAGCAUCAGUGGGACCCCGUGGGCCACUGGUGCGACAGUUGUGUCCUCUAAAUGUAAAUUCUCGAAGUUUAAAGAUCGAUGUUGCUUUGGGAAAUCUAUAGUAAAGUUUAUGUCUGUGUUUGAGUGGAACCCAAAUGUAGAUUUGAGUCUUGUUUUUUUUUAGCCCGGAGACUCCCGGUGGGAGUGGCUCCUGAGCGUUGUCUUGGCUGGAAUUGACAUGUGAAGUGGCAGAAUGAUUUCUACCAGAUGCGCUACCAGCGCUCCCGGUGGGAGUAGCCCCCGGGUCUAGGCGUGACUGCUCGCAGUCGGGGGUAGACCCAAGUACUUUGGUCUUGCAUGUCCGGCCUUGGACUUUUGUGUGUUGAGUGCGUCUAAGACCGCACUUUAGGCUGAUUGGACGUAGUCUCUCGAGGGUUAGUUUUAAGGGUCGAUUGGACGCAGCUCCCGAGUGUCGAGGCUUAUUGGACGUAGUCUCUCGAGGGUCCCAAGUCAAGGUCGAAGGUCGACUGGACGCAGCUCCUAAGUGUCAAGUUUUAAGGGUCGAUUGGACGCAGCCCCCGAGUGUCGAGUGCGUCCAAGACCGGGUUUGGCUGUCGAUUUGGUGCAGCCCCCGAGCGUCGGGUGCGACCAAAACUGUAUUCAGAGGUCGAGUGGCCGGAGCCCCCGAGCAGCAGGUCGAGGACCUAAUGUGGGGGGAUUGGACAAAGCCCCCGAGUGUCGGGUGUAUGCAAUACCCUCAUGAGUCGAUUGAACGAGACCCAGAUUGCUGGGUAAGUUCAAGAUGGAAAAAGUAGUGACUUGGGAAUAGCCCCUGGGUGUCUCAGCUGGCGCCCAAGAUGGUAUUAUGGUCAAUUUGGACGAAGCCCCCAAGUAUCAGGCGUGUCCAAGACAAAGUAGUUGAGCUCUGAGUAGAGAAAAGUAACAGUUUUAUUAUGUACCGGAGUACACGGUAGUAAUAAGAACAAUUAGACUGUAAGACAAAUCUAGGCUAGGAGAGAUGGAGAAAACAACUAAAUAGAGAAAAAACUGUAGAGGUUUAAGCGUAGAAGCAUCGCAAUUGUGCGACGUUCCACGGCCUGUUGUAGGUGACACCGCUCUUCAUAUCUUUAUGAUAGUAUAAGCGCCGCAUGACACCACUUUGGUGACAACGUAUGGUCCUUCCCAUGGUGAUUGGAGCUUGUGGUGCCCCUUCUGUUUGAGUCGAAGGACUAAGUCACCCUCGACGAAGGAGCGGCGACGCAACCGAUGGCCGUGGUAGUUGCGUAGGCUUUGCUGGUAAACGGCUGCUCGUGCGACGGCGACGUCGCGAGCUUUGUCGAUUGCGUCGAGGGUGUCUUCCAUUGUGUGAAAUCAUAGGUGAUGUGUAACAUUGGCAAGUGUUUUAGAUGAAACAUUGAUGUGGAUACUUUGAAUAAUAUGGAUACUUAUGUGAUGACAUGUAUGUUAUGUUGGAACUUACCCUGAGUCAAGUCGUGGACUUGUGCUCGUACUUGUUAUUUGUGUGUUCGCUUUCAGGUGUUGCCGGAGCUAGAGAAACGUGGUCGAUGACGGGAUCGAGGGACGAAGCUUGGGCGAAGUUGAGGUCGAGGAUCAAGGUCAUGCGGAACGUUCGUGCGAAGGAACAAUGAAAGUGAAGGCUACGAUGAUCCGGGAGGACACUGGUUUGUCGUACGUUGUUUAUACCGGAGAUGUACGGUAUUGGAAAUAUUCGACACGUGAUGGUCGAGUUUUGAAGACAACACAAGAAGAGUUGAUGGCAUGGAGUGGUAUCAACGUGAAGACAUGUAGGUCCAGCCGUGGUUGGAUGAGAGCUGUUUAAAGAUUAAACAGUAGCGUCAUCAAAAUGGCUUUUGAUGGAAAAGUGGUCCACAUGAAAGUUGUGAGCGUCGUCGAGACGAACAAGUUUGCUUUUGGAGUCAUCUCAAUCCGAGGUCGUAUGCGGGUCCCAUGGGCAGAAUACUGACCGGGACAGAGGAGUUGAUGUUGGAUUCGGACUCGGUUUAGGAUCGCGAAUUUUUCCUUAUAAAUAGAGGACGUCUAGGCUAGGGUUUUAGCAAGGACGUGAGGGAACUCAGAGCUUUGGAUGUAGAUCAAUUCUUGGAGAGUUCUUGGAUGCAUGGUCGCAUCUUUUAUAAUCGAUCGACAUCGUUGCAAUAAAGAGAUUCAUUGGCGGUGUCAUCUCUGUUCUUCUCGGAUCUUCGUGGAUUCUUCGUGAUAGAUCUUUCUAACACUUUGCUGCAGGUUUAUCACGAGUGCAUAAUACUUUGCUUCAGGUUUAUCACGAGAUCAAGGAAACACCGCGAUUACUUCAUCUUUCUUAUUAUUUCUCAAAAUUGGUUUUAGAUUAAUCCUCGUAACUUUCUGUCAGCUGUUACUGUUUUGAUCAUAUCUUUUGAUUCAUAUGUCCGAUUGAGAUGAUUCUUGUUGUGUUGGUUAGAUAAUUUCAAUACCUGCUUUUUGCAUACUCAUACAUAAUUUUUGGUCCAGCCAAUCUAAAGUUACAUUGGAUUUACUAUCACAAACAGAUUAGGAUUUAAGGGAUUGAACUUUCAGGAAAAGUUUUAAUUUUCUUCCGCGCAAUCAUUCACCCCCCCUCUGAUUGCCUAUCUCGAUCUCACACAUUGGCAUGUCGACCUCCGGACCAGAGUAUGCCGUAACCUGAGGGGCGUUGAGCCUGACGUCAGAUGGUAGAACGGCUUCGGUGCCAUACACCAUGAAGAACAGUGUGAAUUUGGUGCAGCCGUUAGGAGUCGUACGCAGGCUCCAGAGGAUAGAGGGUAGCUGCUCAACCCACACUCCAGCUGCUCGGUGCAGGGGAGUCAUGAGUCGCUUCUUGAUGCCGACUGUGAGCAGACCAUUGGUCUUUUCGACCCGUCCGUUGGUCUGUGGAUGCGCCACAGCGGCAUAGUUGAGGCGGAUCCCCAUCUUCUCGCAGAAGUCCUGGAGCUCGUUUGAGAUGAAGUUGGAACUUUUUCUGUGAUAAUAUUGUGUGGCACCCCGAAGCGGAAUAUGAUGGAACGGAAGAAAAGCACAGCAGAUGUGCCCGUGGCGUUUGUCAUGGGGAUUGCCUCGAUCCACUUUGUGAACUUGUCGAUGGCGACAAGCAGGAAGGUAUGGCCUCCUUCUUUGGACCGGUGGAGUGGGCCAACCAUGUCGAGUCUCCACUGGGCGAAGGGCCAGGCGAGGGGAAUCAUUUUUAGCUCUGAGGCAGGCACUUGUGGCCUGGUGGCAAACAUCUGACAAGCCACGCAUCGGGUCACGAUGUCGGCGGCGUCUUGUAGUGCUGUCGGCCAGUAGAAUCUGGCUCGAAAUGCCUUUGCCGCGAUAGCAUGGCUGCUCGCGUAGUGGCCACACGUGCCUUGAUGGAUGUCGAUCAAGACCUCCCGUCCUUCCACAGGUGUGAUACACCACUGGAGAACGCCGGAGACGCUCUGCUUGUAGAGCUCGCCUUCAAUGAUGGUAAAUGCCUUAGAGCGGCGAGCAAUGCGUCGAGCUUCGGCUACGUCCUCAGGGAGUUCUCGGCGUAGCAUAAAUGCGAGGAAAGGCUGCAUCCAUGUUGGCUCGACCAUGAGCACCCCGUCCGACUCCUCCUCACCACUUGCGAUCUCUGGAUCGUUAGGUGAGUUGAGAUUAGAGGGUUCGUCAUUGCUGAUGGCUCCGUCAGUUGAUGUUGAUUGCUUUGGGGCGAUGGCGCUCUUUUCUUUUAUGGACCGUUGAUGAAUGACCUCCAAGUAUACCCCGGAUGGGACAGGAGAACGGGUCGAGCCGAGGUUGGCCAGAUUAUCAGCCUCGUCAUUGCUAUUGCGGCUGAUGUGGCACAACUUACAUCCUUCGAAUUGGCCCUCCAACAUAUUGUACAUGUCGCGGUAAGCAAUCAUGGUGUCACAGAUGGUGUCACAGGUCUUCAUCGUCUGCUGUACGAGUCACCGUAUAUCAUGAGUCGAGUGGCCCUGCAGGCUUUGGCCAUGCGCAUGGCAUGUAGGAGGGCUUCAUACUCGGCUUCAUUGUUAGAGGGGUUGCGAAAGUGCAUUUGCAGCACAUAGCAGAGCCUGUCGCCUUUCGGUGAGAUUAGCACGACGCCGGUGCCGGCUCCUUCGUGCCGCUUUGACCCGUCAAAGUACAUCGUCCAUGAGCUGGACGUGUCCAGCGGACCCGGAGUCUUGGCCUCAGUCCACUUAGCGAUGAAAUAGAGAAGCACUUGCGACUUGAUCGAUUCUCUUCGCUCGUAAGUUAUGUUACGAGGAGAGAGCUCGAUUCCCCACUCGGUGACUCGGCCUGUUGCCUCUGGGUUGUUUAGGAUGUUAGCAAGUGGGGCCUCGCUAACAACCACGACUGAGUGCUGUUGGAAGUAAUGCCUGAGUUUGCGUGCUGUCAGGAAGACCCCGUAUGCAAGCUCAUGGAAAUGAGGGUAGUGUUGAUUCGUUGGUGAGAGAACCUCAUUGUUGUAGUAGACCGGGCGCUUGACACCGUGGGUCUUACCUUCUUCGGCUCGCUCAACCACUAUAGCUGUGCUGACCACCUGAGUGGUGGCUGCGAUGUAUAGUAGGAUUUGUUCAUCUUCAUGUGGGGCGACAAGGAUCGGCGAAGUCGACAGCAGGCGUUUCAGGUAUGCGAAGGAGGCCCUGGUUUCGGGUGUCCAUGCGAAAUCAUCGUUCUUCUUUUUUUAGGAGAUGGUAGAAGGGCAAAACUUUUUCUCCUAGCCUGCCGAUGAACCAACUCAGAGCAGCAAGUCGAGCGGUGAGCUGUUGGAGCUCAUGGAUUUUGGUCGGCACCUUCAUUGUUAGGAUGGCUCUAAUCUUUGUCGUAUUCGCCUCCAUGCCUCGAGCCGAGAGGAAGUACCCCGAAAGUGCACUUGGUGGGAUUGAGCUUGAUUUUGUACUUUUCCAGGUUGAAUGUUUCUCGUAUGUCAUUGAGGAGGGUUGCUUCUUUCUUGGUUUUGAUGAUGAUGUCAUCGAUACACACCUGGACGUUGUUGCCGAGCUGAGAUUGCAUGCAGGUCUGCAUGCAACGCUGAUAGGUGGCGCCUGCAUUUUUGAGGCCGAAAGGCAUCGUCAUGUAGCAAAGGACGUCGUAAGGAGUGACAAAUGCGGUCUUUUCCUCGUCCUCGACCUUGAGUCGAAUCUGGUUGUAGCCUGAAUAGGCAUCGAGGAAAGACAGGCGCUCGCAGCCGACAGUCGAGUCGACAAUCUGGUCGAUCCGAGGCAAGGGGAAGUUUUCCUUGGGGCAGUUCUUAUUAAGUGACAUCAAGUCGACGCACAUGCGAAGGUCGUGGUGUUUUUUUUUCGAGACAAGGACGGGGUUUUCUACACAGGUCGUCUGCUUUAUCUCCCGGAUGAAUUUGGCCUCAAGGAGUCCGUUGACCUCUUCUCUGAUGGCUUUGCGUUCUGGCUGUGAGAAAUUCCGCAUGGUUGUCGCACCGGCUUGGCGUUCUCGUCGAAUUGAGUGCGUGCUCGGCGAGUUCCUUGGGAAUUCCUGGCAUGUCGGCUGGCACCCAAGAAAAGAAUUCCCAAUGCUCACAGAGGAACUCGACAAGCGUGCUUUCCUAUGCAGGAGGAAGGCUCGUUGAGAUAACGGCAGCCUUGCUAGGAUCGGUCGGGUGGAUCUGAACUUCCUUAGUAUCUGCCUUCUUGUUGUACUCGGGUUGAUGAGUCGCUUUCUUGAUGACGGGAGGUUGAUCAUGAUCGGUUGAAGUUUUGAGCUGUUCAAACUCUUCAUGCAUGCCGAAUGACUCGGAGAUUUUAUGAAACUCCUUGUCACGGCUAUCUGAACGUGUGAAGUUGCUGGAAACGCUGAUCACAUCAUUGCGCCCAAGCAUUUUUAGCUUAAGGUAAGCAUAAUGCGGGACCGCCAUGAAGCGAGCCAACGCGACUCGACUCAAGACCACGUGGUACUGGGAAGGCCAGUCGACCACUUUGAAGUCGAGUCUUUCGCGUCUAAAUAUGUCAGGCGUGCCGAACACCACAUCCAGGCUCACUUUGCCUAGUGGCGUAGGUGCUUUGCCUGGGAUGAUGCCAUGGAAAGUUGUGUCCGUGGCAGCAAGCUUCGUUGUUGAGCGAUUCAUCCCUCGCAAAGUAUCGGAGUAGAUGAUAUUGAGACUGUUGCCGCCGUCAAUAAACACUUUGCCCAUCAUGUAUCCUCCGAUCUGAGCAUCAAGCACCAAGGCUGCAUGCCCAGGUCACGGGACUCGGGGAGAGUGAUCUUCUCGGGAAAAGAUGAUUUUUGUUUCAGACCAAUUGAGGUAGUUAGGUACGGCGGGCAGUGUAGCCACGGCCAUAUGCACCUAUCGGGUUGUCAACUUCUAGACCCGAUUGGUUGGCUUGCCCUUCUGGAUCAUGCAUAUGUGACCUGCUGGAGCUAGAUAGCUAUCGACAGUGGCGGGUGACGAUUCCGAUGUGGGCUGUGCUCGACUCACUGCUUCAGCGAAGUUAGCUUGAAGUGGAGGAGGUGGCGGAGCACCAACGGCUACGGUCCUAGGCAUGGGAAGGCGGUGGCACCAUGUCGACUCUGUUGUUCGUAUACUGGUGUGGGCCAGGUAGUUGAGGAUAGCCAACAUACGCAGUCGAUUGUUGGGUUCGUGCGAACUCGUGCUGCAACUCCUUGAAGCGUUUGCAGUCCAUCAGCGGGUGGCUGGGCUUGAUGUUGCCUUGCUCGUCCCUGUAGACGUGAAAAGGGCAAGGAGCCGCCAGCUGUUGGGAGAGUGAAGGCUGGCCUCCCUUGCGCUGCCACUGUGGUUUGUGUCCGCGAAAGUCACCGCUGCGGCUUCUCUCUCCUUGUGAGGUGGCUGCGAUGAACUCAGGUAACGUGGGUUCCUCAAACGUGCGACCCUUGCACUUUUUUCUGCGCUCGAAGCCGCGGUCUCUAUCGUUGUCUGGAGUUUGAUGACACUCGUUGCGGACCGAGUCUUCACCGUCGACCCACCGAUUGGCAAUCUCCAUCAGAUAGUUGAUGGUUGCGUGUCGGACGCGACCCAGUUCUUCCUUAAGAUCGACUCGACAAAGCCCUCGCUUGAGCAUCGAUGGCACUCUCAUCAGAGACUUCCUUGGAGGCGUGUUUGGUGUUGGUCCAACGCUGAAUAUACGAGCGAAUGGAUUCCCCCUCGCGUUUAGUGCAGGCUCGGAGCUGCUCAAGGGAUAUCGGGCGUUUAUACGUAGCUUUGAAGUUACGAGUGAAGGCCUGGACCAGUUCGUCCCACAAGGUGAUUUCUCCGUCGUGUAGGCUAUUCAACCAGGUGCGUGCUAGGCCCUUGAGUUGGAGUUGAAGGCACUGCAUGGCAAUAGUCCGUGACCCGCCCUGGCAGCGAAUCCCAGUGAGAUAAUCUUCGAGCCAGGUCCUGGGCUCCUGAGUGCCAUCGUAUUUGGCCAGAUCAGCAGGUGGCUUGAGAUUUCUCAGCAUCCUGGUUCGGCGAAUACGACGGCUGAAGCAUGGUGCUCCGCAAGUUUUGGUCUUGAUCCGAUUCGGGAGAGUACUCACGGUGGUUUCUCUGCUGAGUAUGAUCGUGAUUGUCGACUCGACGGGAGACCCACUUCUCCCUUGAGGGUUGGCAUCACGCUCGUUACGCCCCAAGGUAGGUGAACGGCGAUCGCACUGGGUUUUUCAGUCAGCAUGGGGUGGAGUCUGGUCCCAAGAUGGUCUUUGAUUGGCUAGCUCCUGGCCGACGUAGGAGGCUCCUGCCUUGUUCAAUUCUUCUAGAAUCUGCUUGUGGAUGCGUGAAUGGAGGAUGGGCGGUGAAGUGGAAGGAGCCGAAGGUCAUCAACUCCGCCUGAGUCGACAACUUGUCGUCUGGAGAUGGAACCGCUGAGGUCGUGUCUCCAACACACGUCCUUCCCACAGACGGCGCCAAUGACGUAGGGGUGACUUCGACAAUGUCCAUAUUGCUGGACUUGUAUCUAGGAAAGUUUCAAGUGUAUGUGUUGGCGAUCUCGUCGGCUAACAAGGACACAGGGGACACGAUUUACCCAGGUUCGGGGCCCUCGGAAGGUAAUAUCCCUACGCCCUGCUUGUCUAGAUUGUACUGAUGAGUCGAUUACAAGGGAGCUGCGGGGGCUAGAUGCACAGAUUCGAUUUGUCGAGUGCGUCUAGGCGGCUUCUAUGCUAGAUUGGUUGAUCUUGGCUCCCCCUUUUGGUCCCUUCAUAUAUGCAGGAGACCAGGUCACAGGUAGAGGCCAAGUCAAAUACAUUGUUGAAAUAUACUAUGUUUAGACUUCUUUGUCUUGAGCCCCAAGUUGAGCAUAUGGACUGCUAGAGUUGUAGUAGGCUUCCUUGUGGGCCCCAACUGGGCCGUGAUGGGUAUACUCGAGUCGAGUACGUGGUUAGUCAUAACCACGUCGGCAAGUGGGUCCACCAGGUUGGACGGACUGACAAUACGGGCCCACGCGUGAACGGGGUGGACACGUGGGAGUAGUUCGUAAGAACACAUGCGGUCGGGUCUGAUAGGCGGGCUAAGUCGUCUGGAGCAAAUAACGCACGUGCUCGUAAAACAAGGUAAAAGCCUGACAUGCGGGGUCGCCUGGAGAUGUAGCGGCGGCUCUGCACACACGGUAGCAUGUGGUGAGGACGCGCGUCCUUCCGUACCUUGCAUGCGGGCCCCACGUCUGACACGAGGUGCCUGAUCGUCACUUGUAUGAACUGGAUCGUAAGAACUCAGCCCAAUAAGGGGUGCUGUAGCUCGAUGCGUCCCGCGAAUCUCGAUUGGAGACGGAAAGAGCGGCUCUGACAGCAUAUUCCCGAGGCCUUUCCGACCAUCCGAGACCAAAUCGAGAGGAUUUCUUAUUUUAGGUGACAGUCUACUAGAACGCCACCGUGAGAACAUCAUAAUUCAACCAAAUUCUUGUAGUGAACUCAUGUUGCCUGUUUCUCGCGAAGGAGACAAUAUGAUGUUUAGGCAUUUUCACGCUCAUAUUAAGGACGAAACACACCCUGUCUACUCUUCCAGGGACAGUUAUGUGCUUGCUUCAACUAUGCUUCAUGAUGUUUGCUUCUCGGGAUGGAGGCAUUGUGUUUGCUUAGAUUAUUGUCCAGCAUCAUGCUGCAUGCAUAUGAUUUUCUCUAGCCUGGUUGCUUUGUUUGUAUUCUUUAGAUGAAUACAUCCUAUACAGAUAGCCUCUCUUUGGUAAAUUUGCUGAAUACAUGGUCAUUCUUAUGUACCAUAGUAUAUCUUGAGGCCAUUAUCAUUUGCAUACCAUCAUGCUAUUGUCUUUGUUUCAAAUUUGGCAAACCAUUGAAGCUGAAGGAUGUCAUUCUACUAAAACAAAUCUCAGUUCACCAGAUCUUGGUCUAUCGUGUGCAAUUUGCAAAGCUGUUGCAUUUCAGUUUUACCCUCAUCCAUAUUGAGCAAUGUUUAUCAUUUUGCUUGAGAACAAGCAAUGGUUUAAGUGUGGGGGUAUGGUCAAGGUAAUAUUUGCAUGAUAUUUGCCCCACUUAAUUGACCUUUUGGUAUCAUUUUAAUCUCAUUUUGCCUCAAAUCUGAAUGAUAUAAGUAUAAUAUUUGAUCAGAUGAGCAAAAUCACACCAUAUGUAAUAUUUUUUGCAGAUCAGUGCAUUAAGGCACACUUUCUCCUAAUUUUGGACAAGCUGCAAAUGAAGCUUUAUUCUUGAGGACCUGUAUGUAAAGGAAACAAGGAGGCAAGGGCUCAUGUGAAGAUGAAAAGGACCAACUUGUGGGAGAGAAAGAAAAGGAGAAGGGCCGGAAUGCAAAUAUGCCACAGGGGGUUAAAUCCCUGGCUCCUCGCUUCGUGCAAAUCUGAAUGCUAUAAGUAUAAUAUUUCUUCCCCUGCCCCCUGCUGCUGCUCCACCACCGGCCGCCGCCGCGGCAAGGCCGGCGUGGCGGCGAGCAACCGAACCUGCUGCUGCCCUUCCUCCACUCCACAGGACAGCAGGCUAUGCACUUCAUCAUCUAUAACUUCUGCAGCUCCUCCAAGCCCGACCUGCAGCAGCGAACGACGCCAUCGGCAAGCACGAAAAGACAACCUGCAGCUUCUUCCCCUUCUCCAACUUGUGCUGCCCCUUCUCCUUGGGUGAAUCCCCAUCAAAAUCUCUCUCCCUUUCCCCCCUGUUUGCUUGCUGUUUGUAUGAACUGAAAGUGAGAACUUGUGUUGAUUUUGUGCGCCUACAAGCCGUUUGUUUAAAUGUCAGUGAGAAACCUUAUCAAUUGUUGAGUUGUUCUACUGUGAUAUUUGUGAGCUAUGUAAUUAUAUUUUGUCCUGAGAUUUGUCUGUGAUAUCUACUAGUCUGUGAUUUAAUUUUCUGUAAUAAUAUACAUGUUGCUGCCCUGUUAUGAACUCUCUCCCAUACCUAAAUAAUUUGCUUCUAUCCCUGUCCUAUAUGUUUGCUCGUGAGAUUACUUGUUGUCCCGGUUAAUUGUCUAUAAAUCUGCCCCUGUAUUUGUUGUUUGCUUGUGCUAGUGUUUUAAUUAUCUAAAGUAAAACGAAAAUCACAAAAACAUUGUUUAAGUGCUGCCUAUAUUUCGGUUUGCUUCAUCCCCCUUUGAUUGAUUCACCUAGAUUUAGUCCUAACUCGAUUGUUGAUAGCCUACUCCCUCCGGAGAAAAUGACAACCUGCAGUUUCGGAGGAAUUCUCACUACUGUUUUACACUAGAUCAUCUGUAUUGAUGAGUCGAUUACCAGGAUGCCGUCGAGGCAUAUGCUCAGAUUGGAUCCGGCGAGUGCGUCUAGGCGGCUUCUAUGCAAGAUUAGGUGACCUUGGCUCCGCCUCCUGGUCCCCUUGUAUAUGCAGGAGACCAGAUCUCGGGUCGAGUCCAAGUCGAUUACAUCAUAGAGAUAUACUAUGUUUAAACUUCUUUGUCUUGAGCCGCAAGGUUGGGCAUAUGGACUCCUGGAGUCGUAGUACGCUUCCUCAUGGGCCCCAGCUGGGUCAUGAUGGGUAUACUCGAGUCGAGUACGUGGUUAGUCAUAACCACGUCACCGACCGCGUGCUUCACUCUCUGGAACGAGGAGUGUCCGCCUCCAUCUCCAUGGCUGCUGGCUGAGCGAGGUUUAUAUUAGUCUCAGGAGAAAGCGAUAUGUAGGAGGGAUCGAGGGUGGUCUGGUUUGUGCCUGUGCCCUCGGAAAAGGGGUGUUGUUCGCGAUUAUGAGGUGUGCUUUUGUGUGUCCCUUGGACUGUCCCGGUUAACGCGCGGGGUGGGAAUCUGCUCGUGUCCCUUCCGGUUACCAUGUGAGGCGCGACUUGUGAGGCCGUUUGUUUCUCGAGAACGGGGAUCCAAGGGCGUGUCAGACGUCGUUCUGUUUCUUUUCGAUGCAUGUGUGCCCGAUGUUGUUUCUUUGAACUGGCCAGUGCCGGUGCGUGUGCCAUUUGUUGCAGAUGAUAGUUCUCGCAGGAAUGACUGCUUCCUCCAUCCAUGGAUGGAUGGUCCUUUGGGUUUAGGCUUGCCCAUGAAAGAAUGUGCAUUUUUCUUUCCAGAGCACUUUAUCCUGGGGUCAAACACGGUUACAUCCCUCUGUGCACCUCGCUUGUUGGUGGUGGGAAAAUUGAGGAGGAAGCCGUCUGGUUGACACCUUCUUGAUGCACUUACUGUCUUGCUUUUUGAUUUUCAUGGAAUUUUCUUGUCUGCGCUUGUUUGUAGACCGAGGGAGUGUGGCUGACUGUUGAUGGGGGGUCAUACGCGCAAGGGUGCCUUUCAUGGGGCAGGUGGGCGCGAGCGGUCUUGUCUCCCGGGGGCUCAUGACGAGACACGGAGAGAGCACGCCUCCACGCCACCCUGAAAUUGAACCCCGGAGCAACAACCGUGCUUGCACAUGAGGUAAAAUACAACGGACCACCCAACCCGUGCCGGGAGCAACACGUUCUAUGUAGGCGCGUAGAAUAGCUAAGUGCUCGGAGCGUCGCCUAUUAAAACUCUUUCGUUCAGACGCUAAUCGAAUUGCACCUAGAGGCAGUUGUAACACAUUUUGAUAUGAGUUUUGUCGAUGGCCUUGGAACUUUUCAAAAUUCCCUGACAAAAAGCAUACAAAAAUAUAUAUCAAGCGAGCAUGACAAUGAUUUGUUUGCUUCGGCAAUCAAACAAUGCAGACAUAAUAAAGCAUGUUGAGAUGGGAUGAACUAUCACCUUGAUCUUAGGUUUGGAGAUAGGAGGUCGGUUCUGACAAAACUUAGAGCCCCUUCUACGAUACACAAUCAAACUUGGAUUGCUACCCAGCACAUUAUCCACCCUCUGAACAUGACAACAAUUAGAUUUCUUUCAGUCAGACAACACAUGCAGUAAAUAAUAAGGAAUGAAACGAUGGGAAGAACAAUCACCUCCCUUACCAAGUGAUCAGAGCCCCUUUUGGCAUCCUUUUCUUCAGAAAUUACCCGUGCGCCUGCAGGCAACAUUGAUACGGGUGCGGGUGGCCCGAUCUUUCGAUGAGAUUGAUAACUCUCGAUUUGGGUAGGAGGUGACGUUGACGAUCCGACUACGGCCUAGCAGGCAGCGCCUUAGCAAUAGAUACACCAACUCCAAAGGGUUAUUGAUCACGCGGGGGCACGAUCAACCUGACCACGAAGGUCUUUGUUCCUGCAAGCAAUCAAAGAACAAGCAAGAACAAGAUAAAUAGCGGAUGCAAUCUAAAAUUGCGAAUAUACUAUAUCAAACCAAUGUCUCAACGAGACGAUAAGUUGGGGUUCCGAAAGCGGUAAAACAGGUGGUCUAACCGACACACGCGAUUACACGAAGUAGUAGCGAUGGCUAACUUUUAACUAAACAAAACCCAAGGCUCCAUAGGGGGGCUCAUGGGGUAUAAAUAGGAGGAGGGAGAGAUAUUUUCGUCCACCUUGAGUAAGGAGGCCGAAAUCCAACUCUAUCUCUAACUUCCCUAACAAACUACAACUCUUUAGGAAACAGAAAAACAGAUCCGUCAGCUUGUUUUGUCCGCCACGGUCAGCACGAGUGGAAUCUCUUGAUGGGGCCAGAUCCGUUGGAAAGGUCUUGUAAUUACCUUUCCAACAAGUACUUGUUUGCUUGAUUUGGACUCCGGAUGCGGCCUGGGUGAUUAAAACAAAUUCGGGUCUCCUGACAGCUCGGACCCGAAUCGGAUUCAACUUUAAUUCGUGAUAUCUUUCUCUAGCAAGCUCCGAAUCAUGUGCCGUUUGAUUUGUUGGAAAGUACACUUGAUAGACUUCACUUUGAAUCUCCCUUUGCAGGCUAUAACACUUCAUCUUCACUUUGGACUUGUAAAGUUCAAUAAGAUGCCUAAAUAAUAAGAUUACACAAGAUAGUAGCUCCGCCUCUUUGCAAGUAACAUAUUGAAAACAUUUUGUAAUUGAAUUCACCUGAUUAUAAUUAUUAGAGACACCAACAAUUAGGGUUCUAAUGGUCGUAUCCAUGGUUAGCAUGUCCAUAUCAAACAUCAUAUGUCAGAACGCGGCCACGAUGUGGCCGACUGGCGGUGGUGUAGGGCAGAUAACGUUGUGUCGAGUUGGUGACAGAUGAGGAUGUGUGGUCGAGAUGCACCAGUGGCGGAGCCAGGAUUUCAGAGAUGGGUAUGCAAAGGUUUUUCUCCGACAAAGAACAAGUCGAUGAGAGAGUGUAUACAUAAUGUACUAAAAAUAUUGGUCUUAAUUGAGUUCUGGCUCAAUUUAUCGGUUACAUUCAUAUCUAGGUUGAGGUGUGCCACUAUGUAUAGGUACAUGAUUGAUGGUUAGACACAUAAAUUUAAAAAAUCAUGAUUAAAAUCGCCUUAGGUAUAGUGAGAAUGUCAAGAGCUUGGAGAUAGUUAGUUACAUCACAUUGGUGAGCCAUGCAUAUAAAUAUAGUUGGAAUUGAAGCAGAGGCUGACACGUACAUGUUACUCAUACACAUGUAUGCUAAGUAGCAAGUACUAGUAGUAACAAACUUUUUGCCAAAAAAUCUGGGUAUGCCAUACCCAGGCAUUAGCCUGGCUCCGCCCAUGGAUGCAUGGAUGGCGAAGCGCUAACAGGGAGGGACACGGGUGGGGGUGGAUGUGGCCGGCGGAGCAGAGGGGGAAGUGGAUGGCGGGCGGUGGCUCUCUCAGAGGGCGGACGGCAAAGGACACAGAACUAGAUUCCUUGGAGACUCGGAGAAGGAGUACUUUAUGGUAUAAUGGACAUUUCGCAGUUCAAAAUUUUUCACUAUCCCGCCACUUCGCGCGUCAGAUUUUGGAAAAAUUUCGGCAGAAGAACCGAGAUUGUUAGGAGAUGGACAUAAACGAGCUACAUUUACAAUAAAAAAAAUCAUUGACGGGUGGGGCCGGGUCAACAAGUCAGUGACUUAAGUCAAGGGAUCCCUGUCCCACAAGAUUUGUUGAGCAGAGAGAAGGAUUAAUAGGAGAUCAGUUAAGUACUGUACCAGCUACUCCAUUAUUGCGAGAGGCGACGAGCGCUUCCGGCUGGGCUCUGGUGGUGGCGGCCCAAGAAACUGAACCGCUGAACAAAACACAGGCCUGCAAGACUUCUUCCUCUCACACCGCACGAUAUGAUUAGGUAGUACUCCAUGCUACAAUUACAUGUUUAGAUGGGUAUACACAAUAAUUCCAAAUACAGUGGAAGAUGUGGAUACACUAAUCAUAUGACCGGGAUUGGAGGGAAUGAGGGGAAGGCAGAUUCGAAACAAAAGAGCAAGCUUGCUGCUGAUGCUAUCCUGGUUGAAUGCCACCUUGUUGGGAGUAAUCUCAGGCUCGGGUUCAGGCUCUGAGAGAAAGUGGUUCUUCCCCUUUGACAAAGGAGGAGUUGUAGCCCAAAACAUCUUCAUAACACACCAAGCUCCAUUGCUCCAGGUCUUCCCUUAUUGUGCAGUGUUACGGAAAUUAUCUAAUAUAAAUAAAGGAAAUAGUUAGAAUAUAUGCUCAAUAAUAAUCUGAGUUCAGAAAGAUGAUGGCACAAUUUUCAAUCAACAUGAUCAAACUUUACGAUGUUUGAAGCACAAAAUUAGAACACGUCAUAUAUUUAGCAAUGGCGGCAACUCUAACACAAGGAUUUUCAUACCUUGGAGGCAGCGGGGGAUCCGGGUCGUCGUCCUCCGUCCCGGCCAAAACCGAAACGGAUCCGCCGCUGGUGAAUCUAUGUCCCAUGAGAGAUGGGACAGAGGAUCCCUGCGCGUAGGCACCGCCGAGAACUCCUCCUACCGUACCGCACGCGUAUCGGCUUGUCCUCUCUUAAUUGCCGACGAGCCCUACACGGCUGGAUGCUCAAACUUUCAGCGAGAGUCAGGCAAAAAUCGUCCAGAUGGGAAGAAAUAGAGCUAGGUUUCUGAUUUUCUCAGCGGGCUUUACGGCAGUACCGAGGUAAAGACCAGCGUCAAGUGAUGACCGAACAGGUCACUGGCAAAAUGGGAUCGCCCAGUGUAGGGUAAACAUGUCAAUUUUUUAUUACGCACGGUUCCCAAAUAUAUACUCCAUGGUUGGUGAACCGAUGCGCAUCGUUUUAUUGCACCUUGCUCGGCACGAUUCAAGUCCACUCAGAAACGGAGCCGUGGUCAGUACUACUCAUCAGUAGUCACACCUAAAGAGGGGACAUAGCUGCCAGUAGAUGUUCACCGAGCCGUCGUAUCAACGUGUGCUUACACGCAACAACACUUUACAGAGACAGAUAGGAGCCGGGGGAUCGAGGUAGACCUAGCCACUGUUAAUGGGUGGAGCAAGGGCCGACCAAUGUGGGCUGUGCUAGGAAACUUCCAAGCGAAGGAACCCUUCCAGGAAGGGGUUCCUUUGCUUGGAAAUUCCUUCGCUUGGAAUUUAUGGGACCCACAAACCGAAUAAAAAAUAAAAUCCUGGGAUCAUUCCAACCUUCCCCAUUUCACUGGUUCCUGGGCCCCACCAAAGUCAACAAAAGUUAGAACUGGAUCAAGUGAAUCAAUUCCUCAAAAAAUUUCUUUUAGCUGGCACCCAUGCAAUGGCUAGAAGCGGUGCUCACGAGUGUGCGACUCCAAUGCUGGCACUCUACGUACUUCAAUGGUUUGCGCUUUCGGCAAACCAGGGGUUUCAGGGGAGAACAAUUUGUAAUAAUGAGAUGGUUAGGGGAAUAUUCCGUUGAGGAAGCAAAUGGUACCGUUACAAUUUGUCAGUUUCAUGCAACUAGGAACUAAACAUCAGAAAUUGGGGAGGACGAGGACACCUUGGGUCGUUUGGAGGCUCACAUGAGCUCAACCAGCGACGGCAAUGCCCGAGGAACCGGCACGUUCAUGGACCUAUACAGAUUCCUCACCUUGGCAUGGAGAACAUUUGAAAGCGAAGUACCUGGUCUGUCAGUGCCAAGGCCUUCAGAUUUGUUGCCGUUUCCAAUUAGAACAGUACAGUCCUCUGAAAGAGCUUCUUCUAUGGCUUCUAUUUUAUCUCCUUUGCCAACUUCCCUGACUUUGAAUCUAGCUCCCCAUGAUGGUCCCACGCCCUCAGGCCAUUUUGUAUUCUUCCCAGGUUUAGCACCGUAUUCAACUUCACGUUCAGCUAUGCUUUUUGCUUGCGCGCCAUCAGUGGAUUCACCGUUCACCAACAAAACAAAUUAUUUUGCCAGAUCAUGCACCUCUUUUGGUGCAACCUGAUCGAAACCAAUGACAUCGAUGGCGCCCUAGCUAGAGUUCGCAUCCUUCCAUAGCUCCAAAGAUUCUGUGCCGGAAUUCUUUUCUUCGGCUUCAAAAUUAAGUUCUGCCACACAAACACUCUCAUACUCAACUUUCGAGAAUUCACAAUAUUCAGGUAAUCCAAGCCUUGCUCUCCCAAACAGUGUUAAUGCUGGCGCCACUUCAAUUUCAGAAUCCUCUAUUGCUCGUUCUCCAGCCUGUAAUACCUGAGUGUAGUCAGCUAAACUAGUGCCUUCUUCCUCACUCCCCUUGAUCGCUUCUACUACGGGUUGGACCGCCUGCGGUGAGCCGGUGACAGUAGAAUUUCCGUCGGUUAUUCUGAGCAACUUCCAUAUGGGAUCAUUGUGGCCUAGUCGGGAUAGGAGGCAAUGUUUCUUGACAUAGGCUAGAUCCAUGGCAAGGCAAGGAGGCGUCGUCGAGAUAAACCAUUUAGGCUGCAGGAACUGCAGGGCCUUGUCCAGCUCGUCGCGAGACGAGUGCAUUGAAAAGCACACGUGCACACCCCGAAUUCAUCCCUCAUGGGCUCCGUUAGCGACAGCUUCUUAUUUGGCGAUGCCUCCUGUUGCACGUGUCGUACAUACCAUUGCGAAGAAGACUGAUGAUGAGAGGCUCCGGCUGCUGCUUUGCCCGUGCCAGUGCGAGCAUCUCCACAGCCUGCUCUGACAACCUGGGGAAUGCAAUCACCUGAAAGCGAGAGGAUGCAUGAUCUGUGAUGAUCUCUGGUGCUACGAGAGAGAGGGUGUGGUAGCACUAUGAACUCUUGUCCUUGUCAACGUAAAUCUUUGACCCAAACGCCCUCGACACCUCGAUCAGUAUCUCCUCCUGCCCCAGCAUGUCGGACACGAGAUACACCGUCGGUGCGUUAGGGUGCUUCUAGAUGCAAUUUAUCACCUGGAAAAAAUAUAUAUAAUACAUCAGAGCUGACAACGUUGGUCACAAGAGCUCAAUUGUUUUUGCAUACAUUGGAGACGCCCUUAGAACUAGAUUAAGCGGCACACAGACCUGGCGUAUGGAAGCCUCUUUGGCAGGGAACUGCAGCGGGCACCUAGAGAACGUGCAAUCUAGGAACAAGUAGUCGAUGCGGCAAGAAUGUAGCGCCUGCCUUUCCCAGAUCGCGCGGCAUUGAUGUACCGUAGGGGCAAGCCCUCAAUGCAGUCAGGCGUGAGGCGGCAGUCGCCGGUGUGAAGAACGUUGCCAAAGCCGCCCUCGAACAAGAAAAUCACAGUGCCUGCAGGUGCGCACCAGCGGUAUUAGACAAUUUUAGAAUCCGUACGUGGUGAUGUCAUUGAUGGAGGAAUUGACGGGACGGGGAAUAAGAAUGAUUAACCAGGGCAGUGGUUCGCCGUCGAAGGCCGUGACGGUGAUGUCGCCGUCGGGGUCCUCGACAAGCACCGGUGCUCCCAGCUCCAGCUCCAGGAACGCGUCCGGUCCAAGCUUGGAGGGGAAAUUUUAUAACACAAACAUGGAGAUGAGAUGAAAACAAAUAAAUUAGAAAUUGACACAUAGGUUGGUGAUUACUUGCGAAAAGAUGUAGCGGUCGAUGAGGACCGUUAGGUGCGAGGCGUAGACGGCGGUGACCCCGGCGAGGUGGUCGCAGUUGGCGUGGGUGAGGAAGUGGUGGCGCUUGAGGGCGGAGGCGGGCGUCCACGUGUCCACAGCGAUAGGCAACCCUCUAGGCAGCUCGAUCGGCCUCGUCUCUUUCUCCUCUGCUCCCUUGACCCAACGACGCCGGCCACGGGGGCUAGCCCCCUACUUUCCUCGCUGUUUUUAUUUGCGGUCGGAACAGGGAAGCACUUUACCGCGCCAUCCAAAUCUUUUGAAUUUUUAGCACGAAAUGUGGGCAUACUUCAUGACUAGGGCUCAGUUUGGCAUUGCUGAACUGUGCUGCGCUGAACUUAUUUUUUAUCUGCUGGCGAAAAAUACACACGAAAUUAGUGAAAAGAUGGUUAGCCAAACAAGAAAUUAGUGAAAAGCGGUCGAAAAAAUCAGGAUUAUGACAAGGGUCCACCGCAAUGCCAAACGAAGCCUAAGCCUUUCACCAAGAACUACUCCCUUAUUGUUGGACUAAGCCUUUGACCAAGAAUUACAUCCCACGAUGGCGACUAGGAUGCGUUGCCCUGCUGACGGAUCUCCAGGCCUUGCCGUCCUAGUCGUCCUCACGCCCCUGGAUCUGGUAGCACCGUAUCAUCUUCUGGCCAGCGGUUUGUUGGUCCUGUGACUCCCCGCCGGAGAGAAACUUUAUAGGGAUGUAGCGAAGUUUGAUCGACAUCUUGACCUUCGGCUCGUUGGCAACACUGGCGACAUGACACAGCCAUGAAAUCGCCCAGUAAUCUUGAACCAUAUGCUCGUCCUCGCCGGCCUCAACGGAGACGGGCGACGGGAUGGCACUUCCUACGGGCGCCGAGAGGGGAGCGAGGCCGCAGGACAUCGAAAGAGGGCCACCGCCUCGGCUCCCUUGCAGGGUAGUGUUGGUGAUGACGGGGUUGUAGGACGCAAGGGGCGCCGAGAAGGGCGCGAGGUCGCAGGACAUCGAAAGCGCACCGCCGCCUAUGUUGCCUUGCAGGGUCGUGUCUAAGAUGACGGGGUCGUAGGACGCGGGGGGUGCUGGGAGGGGAGCCAAGCCAUAGGACAGCAAAAGCGCGGCGCCUCCUACGCUGCCUUCCAGGGUAGUGUCGGUGAUGAUGGGGUCGUAGGACAUGGGGGGCACCCGGAGGGGAGCGGGGUCGAUGGACCAUGAAAGCGCGCCAACGCCUCCGCUGCCUUGCAGGGAAGUGUCGGUGAUGACAGGGUUGGUGGACGCGGGGGGCGCCGGGAGAAGCUGCGCCGAGCCGGACUUGGCGCGUGUUACCAGGACCUUGCCCCGCCACUUGGGGCGGAGGAGCAUGAGUUGGUACGAAGGCGGGGCACGCCGUCGACGGUUGCCGCACUCGCCUGUUCACGGCCAUGAUGGCGGUUCCGCCUGCUGCAGCAGCCCGCGGAUGGUCUCCCCGUGGGUCUUGUGUCCCAGGUUGCUAGUGAGAUGGGCAACCCUCUCCGAGUAGGGCGAUUUCAUGCGGACGCGCAGCCGGCGGCCCUCCACCCUGGUGUGACGGUCGCGCUUCCCCGCAGCCAUCACCUCGUCUAAGAACUGGGUCUCCUCAUUCAGAUCCGUCGAUACCAUGCUAUGUCGGUGUGAGAGAAUCACAACGCAGAUCGAAGAGUAGAUCAAUCGGCCACGGCGGCUCUUGUGCGAGGAAGACGAGCAAGGGGUGGGUGCAUUGACUGCGAGAUGGGCUAGAAGAAAGGAGGAGUACGCGCCUAUAUAAGGACAUGCCAAUGAAUGGCAUGCAUCUCCUCUGACAUACGGCUGCUGCCAUGGGCUGGCUGACGGGAGGCCCUGGCCCCACGUGUCAUCCAUAGCACCGUAUAUCAGGGGAUCCUCCUCCCAAUGAAUGGCACACGGCCACACACUGGGUGCGGAUGGAGCUCAACCAUGUCCGCACGGACCGCACCCACCGGACCCAAAUUCGUGCCUGGAUUCAUACCAUACGUACCGCCAGGCCGUGACCAAGGGGAAACCCAUCUUUUUAUCCGGGCCGUUGCAUCCUCAAAAACCUUUUUCAGGAUCAUGAAACAACAAAAAAUCUUCGUUUCAACAACCAUGCAUGUACAUGUAACAUUUGCAAUCAUGCAUCUGCCCCAAACUGACAACGAGUAUCUGCAAGUGUUCCCAAAAUAGACUGGAUAAAACCAGUCACGCACUAGUAGUUUGCAAGAUGAUAUGAUCUGCAAGAUCAGAAGUGAAUGUGUGACACGCAAACAACCAAAGCUGAUCAGGUGAAAGAGGAACUCUGCGAAGGGCUGGCUCCUCCAGUCCUCUAGGGGUACGUGGCCAGCGUCGGCUAACUCUCCACCAACUGUUUCGCCUAAUCUCGAAUUCGGAGCCCUCUACCUUUGAUACAAUAGUUUCUUGGGAUGCCCGAUCUUCACGGUAGAACAAAGAUAACUUGACAAGCCUGAUGAACCAAUUAAAUACCAACAACACACACAAAAAUGGGAGAUCCCUCCACACCAGGUUUGGCAAUUCCUUGUGUAAGAAUCGAAGAGUGUUUCUUCGAUUGGAAGACAAAAUUCGGAAUGCUCCACUUUCUGUUUCUCCUUGCCCAUAUUUCCGUGUCCAAGAGUUUCACAAGUGAUGACAAAGGGAUUGUGUUCUGUAAGGAUGCAUUGUUGUUCCUAAUCAUCAAGGUAUAAGAGAUUUGUUUCUCAAAGAUGCUCAUGGGACUCCUCUCGCUUUUCACCAAGUUGCACUAAAAUCAGGACAUUAGUCUUGGUAUAUGCACCAUGUGGUCAAUCUUUUCUUCGUGUUACUUUGUUGCGAGGUGCACAUCGUUCAGGUAUCAAGGACAAGUUCGCUCCGCGAUACAUUCACCUUUUCAAGUUUCUUGUUUGCUUCAACCUUCCUCCAACCUCUCUAAGAUACACGUUGUUUUUCACGUGUCCUAUGCUCUGCUUCGCUUCUGUAUCUAUUCCUUGAGCUUCCUAUCAGGAGCGUUUGGUUCACAUCCUUCGUGAAGUUGAAUGUCGCUCUUCGACAAGACCGUCAAGUUCUUCAAGGACGAAGCAUCGCAAUGUGAAGACCAUCGUUGGACCGAGUAUUCCACUUCCUUCCUUUCCUUCUUUUGGAAUCUCGGGACGCGAUUCCUUUGAGUGGGGGAGAGUUGUAACAGACCCUUUUCCUUUUAAGCCCUUUUGGACUGUUUUGUAAUUUAUUUGUUAUCAUCAUGUUGUCAUGUUCAUGUCAUCAUCAACAUUUGGCCAUGUCAUUAGCAUCAUGUCCCAUUGAAAUCAAAUUCUUUUGCAUAAAGCUGCCGUUCCAUGUGCUUGUCUUUUGUUGUGUUUGUAAAAGCCUGAAAUUAUUUUAUAGAAAUCUUAAUUUGAGUUUGAGAAAUUAUUUUCGGGUUUAGUUAGACCUAGCCACUCGUCUCUUAACUUAUUGCGAAAAGCUAAAUUUGCAAAACCUGUAUUUUGUUUGAGGUUUUUGUUGGCCCAAAAGCCCACUAAACCAAACCCUAACUCCUAGCCUACAAAGCUAGCUCCCUUCCUCUUCUUUUCUUCUCUCCCUCUUUUCCUCCUGGCCGCCGCCGCCAGCACUUCUUCUCCCCUUCUUUUCUUCUUCCUCCCGUGCGCUCCCUCUCCCUGAUAUGGACAUGCUAACCAUGGAUACGACCUUUGGUACCCUCAAUUCUAUAAUAUUUGACAAGAUUUAUGAUCAGGUGAAUUCAAGUAGUAAUUGUUUUCAUUGUCAUACUUAUGAAGAGGCGGAGCUACUACUAUCUUGUCUCGUUUUAUUACGUAGGCAUCUUGUCGAGCUUUUCAAGUCCAAGGUCAAGAUGAGAUACGGUGGAGGCGAACGGGAGGGCCAACAAGAAUCAAGCAUUCAUACAGAUGAGAGGGAAGGAUUUCAAGUGUACUUUCCAACAAAUCAAACGGCACAUGAUUCGGAGCUUGCUAGAGAAAAAUAUCACGAAUUAAAGUUGAAUCCGAUUCGGGUCCGAGCUGCCAGGAGACCCGAAUUUGUUUUAAUCACCAGGCCGCAUCCGGAGUCCAAAUCAAGCAAACAAGUACUUGUUGGAAAGGUAAUUACAAGACCUUUCCAACGGAUCUGGCCCCAUCAAGAGAUUCGACUCGUGCUGACCGUGACGGACAAAACAAGCUGACGGAUCUGUUUUUCUGUUUUCCUAAAGAGUUGUAGUUUGUUAGGAAAGUUAGAGAUAGAGUUGGAUUUCGGACUCCUUAUUCAAGGUGGACGAAAAUAUCUCCCCUCCUCCUUUAUAUACCCCAUGAGCCCUCCUAAGGAGCCUUGGGUUUUGUUUAGUUAAAAGUUAGCCAUCGCUACUACUUCGUGUAAUCGCGUGUGUCGGUUAGACCACCUGUUUUACCGCUUUCGGAACCCCAAGUUAUCGUCUCGUUGAGACAUUGGUUUGAUAUAGUAUACUCGCAAUUUUAGAUUGCAUCUGCUAUUUAUCUUGUUCUUGCUUGUUCUUCGAUUGCUUGCAGGAACAAAGACCUUCGUGGUCAGGUUGAUCGUGCCCCCGCGUGAUCAAUAACCCUCUGGAGUUGGUGUAUCGAUUGCUAAGGCGCUGCCUCCUAGGCCGUAGUCGGAUCGUCAACGUCACCUCCUACCCAAAUCGAGAGUUAUCAAUCUCAUCGAAAGAUCGGGCCACCCGCACCGGCCCGAUCUUUAAUUCGUGAUAUCUUUCUCAAGCAAGCUCCGAAUCAUGUGCCGUUUGAUUUGUUGGAAAGUAGACUUGAUAGGCUUCACUUUGAAUCUACCUUUGCAGGUUAUAACACUUCAGCUUCACUUUGGACUUGUAAAGUUCAAUAAGAUGCCUACAUAAUAAGAUUACACAAGAUAGUAGCUCCGCCUCUUUGCAAGUAACAUAUUGAAAACAUUUUGUAAUUGAAUUCACCUGAUUAUAAUUAUUUGAGACACCAACAAUUAGGGUUCUAAUGGUCGUAUCCAUGGUUAGCAUGUCCAUAUCAGAGGGGGUGAUAUGAGGAUUGUGUUGUUUGGUGUUUAGUUGUCGCACCAGUGGCACCCGGGGUACCACCGCUGAGCGACGCGUGGCCCCUUCCCCCGGGUUCCCGGGAAGGUCUCAUCCCGGGGAGCGCCAACGAGCUUCCUGGCAAGCUACCAGCCCGAAAUGGGCUAGCGGGGCUUCCAGGAAUAUUCCCAAUUAGGAGCUUCCCGGGAGGAGGUUCCCGGGCGCGCUGGGCCCGGGUGCUUCCCGGGCUGACUUGCGGGGACUGGAGGCUCCCGGACGCGUGCCCCCGCCUCGGAUCGUGGGGCCCACUGGACAGCGCCACACGGGCGCGUGGCGGGCGCGGAACGCGCGGUCCCACCAAGGCAAGGAGCAAGGUGCGCGGCUGAGUAAACGAGCCGACCGACGGGUAAUUACCCGUCGGGUCGAAGGAACAGUGGUUGUCCAAUCCUAUCCUAGGGUCUUAGGCCCCUAGCAGCCAGGGAGAGUCGCAUGCCUCCCCGUUGGACACUUGUAGCCCAUGCACCGUGGCACAUGUGGCAUCCCCUUGUGUAUAAAAUGAGGACCCAUGCCAACGGUCUAGGGUAGAAGAGGGGUUUUGACAGGGAGAGGGUGGACGGGUUAGUCGGUUGGUCAGUUAGUUGGUUCGGACGAAGCUCGCUCGAUAGAUGCUUAGUAGCUCUAGUAGGCAGCCGGCAGAGAGUGGUGAGGAGUGCCUAGCCACUGAGAAAAAGCCCGGGAGCUUGCCUGGCAACCGGUAAACAUUUGAUCCGUAAUCAAUAUCAGCUCAGACAGGCAGGAUGUAGGGUUUUACACCUCCGGGUGGCCCGAACCUGGGUAAAAAUCGUGCGUACGUCUGUUCAUGGACUAGCGCGUACCCCUAGCACUUUGCCUCGCCGGCCCAGUAGGGCCUCGUCGGCCGUGCCGGCGAUCAUCUGGUCUCCACCCCAGACGCCCCUACCGAACCUGAAAGGGGGACGUGGCUGCACGCCCCCGGUGUCGGAGCACCGAGCGACGACAUCGGGCGCGCCAGGUAGGGGGCGCGGGAGUGGACGGCGCCGGAGAUCGCCGGCAGCGGAAGUUCCCGUCGGCAUCGGCUUCACUCUUCUUCGUCGACGAGCCUUGUCACCAUGCCCACCAAGCGGGCUGGUGAUUCACGCAUAGACCCGCGUGAGGCCCCAGCGGCGCACACGCAGUCGCACGACGUGCGACCCGAAUCGGGAGCUCAAGAGAAUCCCGAGCCCUCGAGGGUGCAGCAAACGCAGCUACCUCCACCGCCUCCCCGACCGUCGACCGACAAUCGGCCGAGGGGACCGGCUGCCCCCAGCGCUGGGGGCAGUCGGGCGAGCACGCAUGGCGUCGCCCGGGCCAGACAACGGGUGGAGACGCGACCCGAGGAUGCCCCGCGGCAGCGGCACCCGGGGCACGCUGCGUCCCGCCCCCUGGAGGUUCGCACCCUGCACGCCCGGAGGCGUCUGGGGCCAGGGCGGGAAGCAGCCGUUCAGGAAAUCGGUUGCCCCCCGUGCGAACCCCGGCUGAAGCCAUCGUCGCCGCGCGCGUCAUGGUGCGGUACGAGCCGCAGCAGGGCACGCCGGCGCACGAGACGUGGGGCGAGGAGUUGGAAGCGCGUCUCGCCCUGGCCACCCAACAGCCGCAAGGCGAGGGUGCCCCGGUAGGGUCCGGCCACGGGCCGAACUCAGAGCGCGAAGGCGCGCCGCCCGCCUCACGACAGGGGUAGAACCCUCCCCCUUCUCAGCGGGGCCUGGUAGACGGGAGCCCGGAGGGAUCCUCGAAUUCAUCGCCCACCGUCCUAGGGGGCGAUGCGCGUGGCAUCUUGAAUGCCUGACAAUAGGGGGAUCUACGCCGGCGCUUGGAGCGCCGGCGCAGGCACGAGGUGGAGCGCCGGCACCCACUAGAGCAAGAAGAUGCUCCCCUGGGCCCAGAAGACGGCUGCACUGAGUUCGCGCGCGAGUUGCGGCGGGUGGUGUGGCCCCGUAAGUUCCGAGCGCCUGCGCUCGGUACGUACGACGGGACCGCUAACCCCAAAGAUUUUCUCCUGACCUAUACGCUGGGCAUGCAUGCCAUCGGCGCCGACGACAAGGUCAGGGCGAACUGGUUCCCGAUGGUCCUGAAGGGAUCAGCGCGAACCUGGUUGCUCAACCUGCCCGCCGGAUCCGUCGCCACCUGGGCAGACCUGCGCGAGCAGUUCGUGAGCGCGUUCUAGGGCGGCUAUAAGCGCCCAGGAACCAUGGCGGAGCUGCACACCAUCGUGCAAAAACCGGGAGAGACGUUGCGGGCCUUCGUCAACCGCUUCUCCAAUCUCUCCUAUUCUAUCCCGGAGGCGGAGGCGGCCGCCAUCAUAAACACCUUCGCCAUCAACGUCCGCGAUCCCAAGAUGCGUGAGAAGCCGAGCACGCAUCGGAUCCGGACGACGCAGGACUUGUCCGCCUUGGCGCACUUGUGCGCCAUGGCCGAGGAGGGGCGCCUAGCGCCCGAGCUGGCAGGCCAGGCUGCCGCGACCCCGGAGCGGAUCCGAGGCCGGCCGGUGGGGGUGCCGGCUGGGUCGAAUCCCAAGGAGGGCGCAGCCAGCCCCUCGCUGUGCGGGAACGCCCUCCUCACGGGCGCGACAGGGUGCGCGCCGAGGAGCAACGCGAGUCCGACCGUUCCGGCGGCGACGAGCCAGGCUUCCGGGAGCCUCCUGGCGUCGCCUGUAUCCAUGGGGGAUCUUACGCUCUCCCAUCCCACACCGCGGUGAAGCGCCUCACCCGCGACGUGUGCGCGCUGUUGCCGGAUGCGGAGCCGCAACAGCCGCUGAGGUGGUCGCACGUGCCGAUCACCUUCAACGCCGACGACCACCCGGUGCGACAAUUGGGUUCCGGAGUAAUACCCUUCGUCGUCUCGCCGAUCAUUAGCAACAUGACGGUGACCAAGGUCCUGGUGGACAACGGAGCGGGGCUUAACCUCCUGUCCGCCAGGCUGGUGGAAAAGCUCCAGCUGCCGAUCGAGCAGCUGAAGCCCACCGAACCAUUUCGAGGGGUGAACCCCGGGAUCGUGCGCCCGCUGGGACGCAUCACGCUGCCGGUCACCUUCGGGUCCCGGGAAGCAUUCAGGACCGAGCACAUAGUAUUCGAUGUGGCGCAUACCCCGUUGCCCUACAACGGGAUCCUUGGCUGUCCGGCGCUGAUCAAGUUUAUGGCGGCUACGCAUUGCGCCUACGGCGUGAUGAAGAUCCCGUCCGUUUACGGAGUCCUCUCCAUCGGGUGCGAUCUCAAAGACGCUGCUUGGUGCGUUGGUGAGGUCGUCCGGGCCGCUGCUGCAGCUGACGCCGGCGACGAAGUUGUUGUCAAGGACGACGCCCUGCCGGGUGACGCCCCGGCAACGAAGAAAGCCCGCGCCACCCCGCAAGGGCUAGCCGGAGGAGGUGCGGGCUUGAGCGCGCGUCCCGACAAGGGGCGGGGGCUCCGGGAGGAGGCCGCAUAAGUGAAGAAGCUGCCCCUCCAAGCCGGCGACAAGGAGCGCACCGUUACCGUUCGUGCGAACCUGACCGCCGAAUAGGAAAGCGCCCUCGUCACCUUCCUCCGAGAAAAUGCCGACGUGUUUGCCUGGGAACCGUCGAACCUUCCCGGAGUCCCCAGGGAGGUGAUUGAGCAUCGGCUCGCGGUGCGCCCGGACGCACACCCCGUCAAGCAGAAGAUCCGGCGGCAGGCACAAGAGCGGAAAGAUUUCAUCAAGCAAGAGGUGGACAAGCUCAGGGCUGCUGGGGCGAUCAGGGAAGUUUUGUACCCCACUUGGCUGGCUAACCCUGUAGUGGUGCCCAAAGCGGGGAAUAAGCUUCGCAUGUGCGUGGAUUUUACCGAUCUUAAUCGGGCAUGCCCCAAGGAUCCCUUCCCUGUACCCCGUAUCGACCAGAUAGUUGAUUCUACCGCUGGUUGUGACCUGUUGAGUUUUUUGGAUGCUUUCUCCGGCUACCAUCAAAUCAAGAUGGCGGUCGAGGAUGAGGAAAAGACAGCGUUUAUCACCCCGGUUGGCUGCUACUGCUAUACAUGCAUGCCUUUCGGGUUGAAGAACGCGGGCUCCACAUUCCAGUGCGCCCUGCGAGAAUGUUUGGGGCCCCAGCUAGGCCGCAACACGGAGGCCUACAUGGAUGACAUCGUCAUCAAAUCGAAGCGUAGGGACUCCCUGAUUGAUGACCUGCGGGAGACAUUUGACAACCUCCGCAAGAUCAAGCUCAGGCUGAACCCGGAUAAGUGCACCUUCGGUGUCAACUCCGGGCAGCUUCUGGGUUUCUUGGUUUCACACCGGGGGAUACAGGCAACCCCACCAAAAUAGAAGCCAUCGAGAAGAUGGAGUCCCCCCACAAGGUGAAAGAUGUCCAGCGCCUCAACGGCUGCGUUGCCGCGCUUGGACGCUUCAUCUCCAAGCUGGGCGAGCGUGCCCUGCCUUUCUUCCGGGUAAUGAAGAAGAAGGGUCCAGUCGGCUGGACUGUCAAGGCCGAGGCGGCGCUCCAGGAACUCAAGCGAUACCUGAGGUCACCGCCCAUCCUCGUCGCCCCCAAGUUGGGCGAGCUGCUGCUACUCUACCUAGCGGCGACUGACCAGGUGGUCAGCUCGGUGCUGGUUGCCGAGAGGGAGGAAGACGUCCCGGGGAUUGGGGCUGCAGGGCAGGUGGCUGAGCAGCCUCCGGCAACCACCUCAAGCCCAGGGACCACCCCAGAGCCGGCAUCCUCGGCGCCGCGGAAGCGGUUGGUGCAGCGACCGGUGUACUUCGUCAGUACGGUGUUGCGCGACGCGCGGACAAGAUACCCGCAAGUACAGAAGCUCCUUCUGGGGAUUCUCCUUGCGUCCCGCAAGUUGCGCCACUACUUCCAGGCGCACCGCGUCACGGUGGUGUCCGGGUUCUGCCUCGGGAAGACCCUCACCAACCGUGAAGCCACCGGGAGAGUGGCCGAAUGGAGAAUGGAGCUGUCGGAGUUCGACCUCCACUUCACCAACUCCAAAGCAUCAAGAGCACGGCCCUGGUGGACUUCGUCGCGGAGUGGACGUCCACGGGCGUAGAAGAAAGUGAGUCGGAGACCAGCCUUCCCGGCAAGCUGGACGAGGGCCCCUGGGUCCUCUACUUCGACGGUGUGUUCAGUCUCCAGGGAGCGGGAGCCGGGGUCGUCAUCGAGUCACCCACAGGGGACCAGCCGCGGUUCGCCGUCCAACUCGACUUCGCUAACUCCACCAACAACACGGCGGAUUACGAAGGCCUGCUUGCCGGGCUGCGGGCUGCGGUCGCCCUCGACAUUAAGCGCCUGGUUGUUCGCGGCGAUUCCCAGCUUGUGAUCAACCAGGUGAAUAAGGACUACGAUUGCCCUCAAAUGGCGCUGUACGUGGAAGAGGUCCGCAAGCUGGAACGGAAGUUCAUGGGUUUGCGCUUCGAACACGUCAAGCAGAAGGACAACUUCGCUGCGGAUGAGCUGGCCAAGAUGGCAGCAGAGCGCCGGAAGCCUCCGGCGGGGGUGUUCUGUCAGAAGCAACUGGCUCCUUCAGUCACCCCCCAGACGGCUGCCGGGGACGCCCCUCCGGCAACCAAGGGAACCCCUGCAGCAGCAGGGGUCCAUGCCGCUGAUAUGGCGGCAUGCACGGGCAGAUAAAUUCCUCCCUGGGCGGAAGAGAUCGCCCGCUAUUUGAAAUGGGAGGCUCUCCCGGAGGAUGACGUCGUCGCGGAGCGCGUAGCGCGGCGAGCCAAGAUGUACACCGUGAUAGACGGCAGCGUCUACCGCAGGCGUGCGAAUGGUGUAAAACUCCUCUGCGUGCCGCAGGAGGAAGGGUGUGCACUGUUGGAGGACAUACAUCGAGGCACAUGUUCACACCAUGUGGCCUCCCGGGCUUUAGCCGGCAAGGCUUUCCGGCAUGGUUUUUACUAGCCCACGGCCCUGGCCAACGCAGAGCGGAUGGUGAGGACGUGCGAAGCGUGCCAGUUCCACUCGAAUAAGAGCAACCAACCAGCCCAGGCCCUGCAUGACAUCCCGUCCUCAUGGCCGUUCGCGGUCUGGGGACUAGACAUCGUCGGCAAGCUACCAAGGGCGGUUGGCGGUUACGAAUACUUGUUUGUGGCCGUCGACAAGUUCUCCAAAUGGGUGGAGGUGGAACCAGUGCGCAAGGUGACCGCCCAGGCGGCCAUCAAGUUCCUUAAGGGCAUUGUGUGCUGGUUCGGGGUUCCCAACAGCAUCAUCACCGAUAACGGCACGCAAUUCACGAGCGCAGCGUUUCGCGCCUACUGUGAAGACAUGGGCACUAAGUUGCGCUUCGCGUCCGUCGCUCACCCGAGGAGCAACGGACAGGCGGAGCGAGCCAACGCAGAGGUUCUGCGGGGGCUCAAGACGAGAACCUUUGACAAGCUCAAAGGCCACGGGAAGCACUGGAUCGAAGAACUCCAGCCCGUGCUGUGGUCCGUCCGGACCACACCUAGUCGGGCAACGGGCGAAACUCCUUUCGCCCUUGUCUACGGGGCAGAAGCGGUGCUGCCCCUCGAGCUCAAGUACGGAUCUCCCCGAGUACGCGCGUACGGCGACGCCAGCCAACACGAGCAAAGGGUCGACGAUCUAAACUUCAUCGAAGAGCUUCGGUGCCGGGCUGCUGUGCGAGCCGCGCGCUACCAGCAGGGACUCCGUCGUUAUCACGACAGACGAGUCCGUCCCCGGGGGCUCGAGAGCGGAGACCUUGUCCUGCGUCAGAUACAAGGAACGAAGGCCGGGAACAAGUUGACUCCGAAAUGGGAGGGCCCCUUCCGGGUAGUGCAGGUGACCAGGCUGGGGGCUGUCCGCCUGGAAACCGAAGACGGCUUGCCGGUGCCCGAUAGCUGGAAUAUUGAACACUUGCGCAAGUUCUACCCGUGAAGCGGCGGAGCCCGACCCUCAGGUGAUGCCUCCGAUGCAUACCUCUCGAACUAGUGUAACCGGACAGCCCCCGUGUGUAAACCACUAGUUAACUGUGAAUAAAGAGAGGUGUUUCACCCCUGAGCUUUGUUCUUGCCUUGUUCAUUCGCUUGUUUUCCCCCUCUUGCCUCCUGCUUUAAAUGCAGAAGCAGAAGAGAUGAGAUUUAUCUGAUUUACCUGUGUUACUUGUUUUCAUAAGUUUCAAAAAAAUUUCAGCACCUCGGAUCUGGUAAGAGUCUAACCUACAGGAAAGGGAGGAAUCUUGUACACUGUGGUGCCCGUGAGCUGCCUACGGGACGCACCAUACACCGGUGCCUUGUGGUGCGGGAGGACCGCAACACAAGGGGUUCACCGCACUCCGAGGCUUCUGGGUUGUCGGCUGGCCACCACGUGUGCCGUGGUUACCCGGUAAGCAUGGCGGCGGAAACUGCGCCGCGUUCGGGGAAAAGGCGCCACGGUGCCGCGCGGAUCCGUCGCGCGCGGUGGCAAGCCCCCCCCCCCCCCUGUGUCUAUAAAAGGCGCGCCCCAACCACGGAAUUGCUCAGAGCGAAGCCGGGUUCAGGGCCGUGAAAGCAGGUGGUGCGACGGAGGCGCGGAGGUGGUGCUUCCCGCCGGCGCCUAGCGCCGGCGGAUGCGCCGCCCUCGCGCCCCUGCCGCACCACCCCAUCGAGCCCACCCCGAGGGGCGCCGCAGAGGCACGGGGGUAGUGCGUGCCAUCGGCGUCCCAUGCCGACAGGUGCACUGCCGUUGUGCCCCUGUUGCGCUUCGUCAGAGGGGCGGUUCCGGGGCGAGGGUCGCCGCAGAGGCACUGUGGCGGUGCGUCCCGUCCGCGUCCGGCGCCGACGGGGUGCAUUGCCACAGUGCCCUUGUCGUCCCCCUCCGUAGGACACCUCCGCAAGGAGCAGGGUCGACCGCGGAGACUCUACGGUAGUGUGUGCCAUCCGUGCCUUGUGCCGGCGGGUGCACUACCACAGAGACCCGGCCGCAUUCCCUUUGAGUUGAGCUCGGCCUCGUGCUGAGUCGCCGCUCUCGCCGCGCCCUCGGCGGUCUUGACCUGCACCUCCAGCAGGACGCGGAGGCCUUCGAUCUCGCCACGGUAGUUGGCGAUCAGCUCGCUCUUCUCGUCGAGCCGCGCCUGGGCCGUCGCGAGCACCUCGGCAUGUUCCUUUCGGGAAGCUUCUAGGGUUGCCGCCAUUGCGUCGAGCCUACCUUGGAGCUCCGUGCGCUCGACCUCCAGUUGCCGACGGAGCUCGGUCUCCGGGACUACCGGCUCCCGAGCAGCCUCCAGGGCUUGCCGGGCCAGCCGCGCCUCCUCUUCGGCGAGGCGCGUCUCCUCGCGCAGCCGGGAGAGUUCGCGCCGCUCUCUCUCGACGGCCUCCCGCACCUUGCCGAGUUGAUUCUUGGCGGCGGUGUGGCGCUCCCUCACCUCGUUGUAGGAGGUGACGAAGGCGAACUGCUGGUCCCGGACGGCGUCCAGGAACCGGUGCCCCUGCUCGAAGAUGCUCGGAUCUCAGGUAAGAAGAUUCCAAGCGACCCCGGCGAGGGUGCCGAGGUCGGUGCCGGGGGGAGCCCCCGAGGAUGACGAAGCCCCAGCCGCGGAAGUGGAGCUGGGCGCGGGGUCGCCAACUUGCUCCCGGGGGUCUUGCCGUCCUUCCCCUACAACUUCCCCCGCGCCCAGGGAGAGUCGCAUGCCUCCCCGUUGGACACUUGUAGCCCAUGCACCGUGGCACAUGUGGCAUCCCCUUGUGUAUAAAAGGAGGACCCAUGCCAACGGUCUAGGGAAGAAGAGGGGUUUUGACAGGGAGAGGGUGGACGGGUUAGUCGGUUGGUCAGUUAGUUGGUUCGAACGAAGCUCGCUCGAUAGAUGCUUAGUAGCUCUAGUAGGCAGCCGGCAGAGAGUGGUGAGGAGUGGCUAGCCACUGAGAAAAAGCCCGGGAGCUUGCCUGGCAACCGGUAAACAUUUGAUCCGUAAUCAAUAUCAGCUCAGACAGGCAGGACGUAGGGUUUUACACCUCCGGGUGGCCCGAACCUGGGUAAAAAUCGUGCGUACGUCUGUUCAUGGACUAGCGCGUACCCCUAGCACUUUGCCUCGCCGGCCCAGUAGGGCCUCGUCGGCCGUGCCGGCGAUCAUCUGGUCUCCACCCCAGACGCCCCUACCGAACCUGAAAGGGGGACGUGGCUGCACGCCCCCGGUGUCGGAGCACCGAGCGACGACAUUAGUAAAUAGGUUAAUCACCUCACUUAGUAGACGCUUCUUAUCCACUACUUAGACGAUGUCAUUAGUGUGUCUCUCCAGAUAUAUUGUUGCCGCUGCAAACCCCACCGUAUCCCUCCAUUGAGACUUGUUGCAUAAUUAGAUUAGUUCUCCCCGUAAGUCUUGCGAGUACUUUGUACUCAGUUGCUUUGCAACGUUGUUUUCUUCAGAGGUUCCAGCAUAGCAGGUGAGCCGCUAGCUUCUUCAUGGAGCACGACGUUGGAUUCGAUGUUUAGCCAAGAGAUCCAGAUCAGGGUUCUGAGACUCGUUGCGGGUUUCCUUCCAGCUUCCAGCCUCUUCAGGCCAUGCUGUAUUCUUGUCUGUACUCGGGCAUAGUUCGACUUCCGCUGAUGUAAUGAUGUAAUGUUGGGACAUGUGUCCUCUCUUUAUAAUAAUUGUUAUUCUGCUCCUUGUAUGAGCUUUGUAAUUACUCUCUUCUAUAGAGUUUUGGUGAUGAUAUUUAUGUUGCAAAAUCCUACGAUGAGCACAUUAAUGUGUGUAUGUAUUGAGGUGUUUAUCGUAGGUUAAGAACCUGAGGCUUGAAUUAUGCAAAGGUUAGCAAUUUGGGGCUAAAUUGUAUAAUUCCGGUCCCGAGGUCUUACACUCUGCGGCUCGGGAAGGGCGGCGGCGGCUCGGACUCCGGCGAGGCGAGGCGGCGACUGUAACAUCCCAAAAUUUUAAAACCUUUUCAUAUGCAUUGCACUCAUGAGCAUCAUGCCACAAUUGCAUUUUGAAUCUUGUUUUGAAUUCCAAAAAGGCUUUGAAUAGAUUUAUUUCAUUUUAAACCUUGGCCUUUUACCCAAUUGAGUUUUGGAUUUUAAACCAAUAGGGUGUUGUUCAUAAAAGGGGUUUAUUGCAUAAAUGAGCUACCCCAUAUUUUUGUUAUUUAAUUUGGAGUUGAAAAACUAUUUUAUUUAAUUAGUUUUGAAGCCCUAAAGGCAUUAUACACGUUGUGCCGAUUCCAGAAAGGUGCGGAACACAAUUUUUGGACAAACGGUUUGAAAGAUAUGAGGCUUUGAAGUAAUAGGGUCUUUUCUGCAAAAGUGCAUUUUCUAAUUUGGCCGAAUUAAAAUAAAACGAAACCUUUGCCACGUGGCAGAACGCGAGUGGCGGGACCCUAGGGUUUCUGGUCGGCGGCCGGCGGCGCGCGGGGUGGCCGGAGGCGGCGGCGGGCUCACGGGGCGGCGCGGCGCGGGUUGCGCGAGGCAGCACGACGGGGCGCCGGCGCGGGGCAGUACGGACGCGGCGGCGGCGGUCAAACUUGAAGGCGAGCGCGUCACGGCAUUCACGUAGGAGAGAGUAAGAAGGUGAGAGGGUCGGCGCGGGCGGAAGCUCACCGGAACAACGACAAAACGCGAAGAACGGCGACGUCCGUGAAGAACUUCGGCGAGAAAUUAAAUCUUAACCGAUGCGAAAUUGGACGUGGGGUUUGGGGGAAGUGGUAGAGGAGUUCGGGGGCUUCGAUAUGACGCAUGGGGUUUCGGAUUUGGUGGUUCGUGCGCGGAGAAAUCGGAACGGAAUCGUGGGUGACUUGGAGUCGUUCGUGGCCGGGCUUCUCGGGCAGACGGUUGGAGAAGAAGAUGAUCGCGGGUCCCACUGGUCAGUGAGAGCGGGCCGGCCGGUUCGGUCCGGUUUGACCGGUUUGGUUCGGUUUUUCUUUUCUUUUAUCUAUUUUCUGUUUUUGAACCUCAAAAUUGAUUCAAAGCUCCAAAUCACUCCAAAUAAAAUGCAACAAAAUUUGUAAAAUCAUAUUUUCAUACGAUCUAACUUUUGGAACAAUAAUUUGCUCAAAAUAAAAUAUUUAAAAAAAAUACAUUUGCCUAUAAAAUGGCUUUUAGGGCCCUUAGGCUAUCGAAACAAAUUAUUUUUCAAAAUACUUUCAAAAGCCAAUUUAUGGGAUACCUCUAUAUAUGCAUAAAAUCCCUUUUUACCACAAUACCCUCAUGGGUUAAAACGCAAAUACCCAAGAGCAAGAUCAAAGCCCAAAAUCAAACAAAAGCAUUUUUGCAAAAGGGUUUUCUGGGCAAACUUUAGGGUUUUGAAAGUGAUCAGAUGCAAGGGUGACAUGAUGCUUAUGAUAUGCAAUGCAUAUGAAGAGUUUUGAAAAUUAGAAUGUUACAGAACUUUACCUUUCUGGAAACCUUAGAACGUGUAGAAUCUUUUGGCACUGUUUAAAUUUAAACUUGAUUAUCGGAAUCUGGACAUAUUUACAGAAUGUUGUUUAAUGCCAUUUAAUUCGUAUCUUUUGUUUUAAAAAUCUUUUUGACUUGAAACCAGUGCCCAAAAAUUUGGUUUAAUGUUCUAUGUUCAUUGGGACAGAGAAAUAAAAUAUGAUUUAAUUAGUUGGCUGUUGCCAAUAAAACCUUGUUUUAGGGUUUUAAUCUUUUGUUUUUGUAUCUUGCAAUUAAUCUAGUGUAAUAAAUCUUUAUUGCUAAUGCUUUUGGACCACAAGCAUAACCUUGUUAUUUAUCCAAAUAAAACCAUCCAAAUCAUGCCACAUGUUUUGCAUUGCAUCAUGGCAUGUUUUAUUUUGCUUGUAUUGUAUGUUUAUGUAUGCAUUGUUGCGUGUUUAUUUUAGUUUACUUGGAGAGCGAACCGUGCAAUUGUGACGAGUGUCUAAACUCCAACUGCUAUCAAGGCAAGUUCACUUUGACCAUGAUCCUAUUAUUUUAUUAUGCACUAGAUUUAUUAGUUGCAUUGUUAGGAUUAUUAUUGUACCUAUGCUAGCUAUGAUUCUCCUAGUAGUAUAGGAUACCCUUGCCAUGCCCUUACCACCAAUUGCCAUCGUAGGUAGUCAAAUGCUAUGCUAUGUUAGUAUUCGAGGGUGGUAUUAUUACAAUGUGAUAUUAUUGUCAUUAUGGAGUAAAGUUAUGAUUUUCUAGUGUAUGGCAAACAAACUAAUGUAAUGAACCAUCUUGGGUGGUCUGCUUUGAGUAUUUGAGAUGUAUGCGACGUCAGGUCCAUUUCUAUAAGUCGUCUCGCCAUGUCUAUGGGAGCGCCGGCGUCGCAAAUGUGGGAUGCCACCCGGGGUAACCAGAGACUAGACUAGUUUCCUAUUUAGUAGCUUCCAGUACAACCACGUGCUAAUAUGGGCUCUGUCUUGAUGGAGUAAGACAUAUGAUCCUGGAUCCGAGGUGACAUCGGUAUGUAGUAGUGUAGGUCGGAACGCAUCCCUCAGGUGGUCUGGGUGAUUAUGGUGUGAAGAUUCUCGUAAUCGAUGCUGUUGCUACUCUACUCUGAGGACAGCAAGGGAUUAACACGUCGAUUUCUUGUGGGGAAUGUGUACAAUCUCUCGAGAGUGUCAAACUAAGUACUUAGCCGUGCCCCCGGUUACGGACAAUUAUGAGCGACUAGAUUUGGGAGCUGUAAGGAAAGUCUCACUCACUCUAAUGUCUUAAUAAAAUGAAUGGUUUGAACCUGGGUAGGAUCAUUGAUGUGUCUACUCAAUGUCCUUUAGAUUAAUAGGAGCAUGGGUGUGUCUACCCCGUGUCCAAUAGUGAUAAAACUAUUUGUUUAAAAAUGAUAGGAUGAAACAUUGAUUCUUUUAUGCAAUUAGCCAAACCCCACCUAACCAAAAUAUGCAUGUACUUGGUAGGUUCUUUUAUAACCUCUGGUGAACUUGCCAAUACAUUCAAUGUAUUGACCACGUCGUGGCUGCAAUUAACAAUGCAGGUGGAUCAGACGACGAGUGAGGUUCGUUGUUGUUUAAUUGGGUCAUGUGCUUACAUUCCAACAUGCUCUCACCUUGGAGUAGUUGUGGCUCAUUUGCUUCUACCUUUCCGCUGCUUGGUUUUGAAAACUCUAUUUUGAUAUGCUGACCCAAGAGGUCAUGCAAGGUUGUAAGUACUCUUAAAUUCUGGAUGAAUGCGAUGUAAUAAAGUACUUUGACCUUUGUAUCUCGAUAUUUCAUCUUGAAACUGUGUGUGCUAGUGAGUCGAUCCAGGGACUAGCACUAUAUGAACAAAGAUCGAACCCUGUAAGGGGGCGGUCGCUUCAGAUGGUACCAGAGCAAUGUAUUGCAUGUAGGAACGUGACCCUAGCUUGGAUUAGGAUAUGACCAAACCUUAGGGUUAAGCAUACUUACUUCUUAUCCUUACUUGACCUAUAUAUACUUUUACUCCUUAUCCCUACCCGUCUAGAUCAUUGCUUUUACGUCUUACUCAUGCAUGUCAUAUUUGUUAAUUUAUUCUACCUUUACACUAAAUAUCAUGUCAUUGAACCACUAAUGCAUAUUUUCUUCUUGUUAUAUUUUGCCAUCCACCACUAUAAUCAUGUUGUCAUAUUACACUCAUAUUAUCAUGCCUUUCUUUUUCCAUUUUUUCAAUUCCACCCUUAAUCAUAAUUUUCGGCAUUUUUCUCCACCCUACUAUCUUUAUCUUUUACUUUACAUGCAUUCAACCUCUUGAUCAUGUCAUUGAUACUCCUCUACCUUUCCUUCUUUGUUUUCUAUAGAUGGAAAGCCCACCACCACCCUUUGGCAACGUUCCACCGUUCACUCGCGUCUACUACCCCUCCACCGACGACGAGCAGCCGUUCAGUGCCCCCUUAGCGGCACUGUGUGUGUCCCUCGACCUGCCACCUCCCAGGUUCAGGGGCCGCGUCGAGCCCGCCGUGCCCCAAGGAUGGCAGCCACGGUGGGAGAUUGAAGCAAAGGUCCGCGGGCGCGAGAUCACCCCAGCGACGCCCGACAUCACCUUCAUCUCCCGCUACCCCACCUAUGAGAAGGGCCUCCAGUUUGCCAUGCAGUGCGCCUUUGUGCAGGUGUGCCGGGAUUACCGGAACAAGCUUCCCGAGGGCUCCCCCUUCCUCCUUUUUGGAAAGCGGAACCAUGCAUGCUCGGCCGUGGCAAUAGCUGACAGCGAGGAGUUGUCCGAGGUGGCCACCCAAUUUGAAAACAUGGAGGCGAACAUCGUGGAUUCGGAGUCUUGCCUCGAUAAUGAGAUGACCAGGGCUGACAUAGCCGAGGAGUAGGUCAGCCAACUACUGGGGGAGAAGGCCCAACUGCAGGAGGACAAGACAGUGCUGCAGAAUACUGUCCUCAACAUGGGUGACGCCAUAGAGCAGCUGCAGUAUGAGAGGGAUCAGGCCCGCUACUACUGCGAACAGUUCAAGGCGUUCCUGACAGCCGCCGCCGCAGCCACACCCGCUCCCCCACCAGCCCCUACACCAGCGCCUCUUCAGACCCCACCUCCGCCUCAGGAUCAGGAGAUGGAGCCUCGGGAGGGAGUACAGACUUAGGAGGAGCCUCAGGAGGCUCAUGAGAUGGACACCCCUGCCUCCAACACCCGCUCCAAGAAGAGGGCGGACGGGGCCACACCUUUAGCCACACUUCCCUAGCCUUAGUUGGUGUCCACCAGACCUUAUAGUCUAUCCUAUUAAUCGUUCUGCGAGUUAGUCACUGACCAUACAGUCUAUGUGUAUGGCAAUGUAGUUCGGUUGCUUUAUUUCCGCACUUUAAUUAUGGGCAGUGUCCCGUCCUGAACAAGUUUGUGGUUUGUUGGUUUUCCAAAAAAAUAAUGAAUGCUUGAUUGUGUGAUUGAAAUAUGUCUGAGUUAAUGUUUCCUUGAGGGGCUUAAAUAUCUUUAGCUCUAUUGUAUCUAUUUUUCCUCAUCUAUGCUACCCUAAACAUAUACCUCCAAGACGCCCGAACCCCAACAACAAUGCUGAGCCCAACAAUGCCGAGGCAGAUGGGAAUGCAGCCACCAUGCAGCAAUUGUUGGUGGCUUAGACUCAGUUUUUCCAGGUGAUCACACAACAAAUGGUGGUGUGGGUCGGGGUGGCCCGAUCUUUCGAUGAGAUUGAUAACUCUCGAUUUGGGUAGGAGGUGACGUUGACGAUCCGACUACGGCCUAGGAGGCAGCGCCUUAACAAUCGAUACACCAACUCCAGAGGGUUAUUGAUCACGCGGGGGCACGAUCAACCUGACCACGAAGGUCUUUGUUCCUGCAAGCAACCGAAGAACAAGCAAGAACAAGAUAAAUAGCGGAUGCAAUCUGAAAUUGCGAAUAUACUAUAUCAAACCAAUGUCUCAACGAGACGAUAAGUGGAGUCCUGACGACGGUAAAACAGGUGGUCUAACCGACACACGCGAUUACACGAAAGUAGCAAAGAUGGCUAAACUUUAUCUAAUCAAAACCCAAGGCUCCUUAGGGGGGCUCAUGGGGUAUAUAAAGGAGGAGGGAGAGAUAUUUUCGUCCACCUUGAGUAAGGAGGCCGAAAUUCAACUCUAUCUCUAACUUUCCUAACAAACUACAACUCUUUAGGAAACAGAAAAACAGAUCCGUCAGCUUUUUUUGUCCGCCACGGUCAGCACGAGUCGAAUCUCUUGAUGGGGCUAGAUCCGUUGGAAAGGUCUUGUAAUUACCUUUCCAACAAGUACUUGUUUGCUUGAUUUGGACUCCGGAUGCGGCCUGGGUGAUUAAAACAAAUUCGGGUCUCCUGAUAGCUCGGACCCGAAUCGGAUUCAACUUUAAUUCGUGAUAUCUUUCUCUAGCAAGCUCCGAAUCACGUGCCGUUUGAUUUGUUGGAAAGUAGACUUGAUAGGCUUCCCUUUGAAUCUCCCUUUGCAGGCUAUCACACUUCAUCUUCACUUUGGACUUGUAAAGUUCAAUAAGAUGUCUACAUAAUAAGAUUACACAAGAUAGUAGCUCCGCCUCUUUGCAAGUAACAUAUUGGAAACAUUUUGUAAUUGAAUUCUCCUGAUUAUAAUUGUUAUUAGAUACACCAAUAAUUAGGGUUCUAAUGGUCGUAUCCAUGGUUAGCAUGUCCAUAUCAUCCUCCCUUUCUUGAAAGGAAAGCCGUCUUCGGCGUCGUUUAUGCUGAAAAUAUGCUAACAAAAGAGACAAGGUAUGCGCAUGGUAUAUGUAUAUAUCGUUAUUUUUAACUCCACUCCCAUGUUGCACAAUUAAUGUUUUAUAACACAAUCUCAUGAGAUAAUUAGUCACACAAUCAUCAUGAAUAUCAUUCCAGCAAGAAGAUUGACAAUAUGUUUUGCAUAUAUAAGUGAAACAAUAUCUUGUAUUUGGUUUGCACCGCUCACCAUUAUACCAUCCCAAGACUGGAAAAUAAUAAUUAAUAAUGUUACCCAAAUUAGUUACUACAAGAUGCUGAAAUUUAGAGCAUGUCAAAACACUAAUAUUCGAACAAUCGUGUAAAGAACUAAUUGGCAAAUAAUCAACACCAAUAUUGGAGGUUAUAUCAAAAUGGUUAAGCAUAUGCAACAUAUUAUUUUCUCUCAAAUCAAGAAAGUUAUCACAAGCAAUGCAACUCUGAUGCACCCAAAAUUUAUUGUUCACGUCAUGUUCUCCAAUUAAUUGAAUAGUGUAUUCAUGGGCAUUAGCAAAAGAUUUUGAAAUUGUUAACUCAGAACUUUUAUCCAUUGCAUGUGACAAAUAUAUAGGUGCAUCAAGUUUAAUAGAACACAAAGAAUUAUUAGGCGGAAUCAUAGGAAACACUUCUUCAUGUUUAAUUAAUUCAAUGCAACAUAAAUCAAAUUUAAUUAUCGCGUCACAAGUCUGUUCCAAAACAGCAGGUAACUCAUCACAUAAAUCAUUAUCAUUUGAAUCAAUGGGCGUGCUCAAAUCGGCAAGUAAAUCAACAGUUUUACAAGGGGUAGCAUGUUCAUCAGAUAUCUCAUUUAUUUCAACACACGUCAUAUUUAGUUCAGCAACACAAACCUCUGUAACAUUACCUUGUGGGCUCGCCUCAUUUGUAUUAUACCUUCUUUCUAACUUCCUCUCAGCUUCACAAGCAAGAUUAAGCAAACACAAUAGAGAGUCGUAAUCCCCAUAUUCAAUCACGUAAGAAAUUUCAAAAUUAAGCCCAUAAUAAAACCUAUCCAUUUUUCUUUGUUCGGUUUCAUCUAAACCAGAUCGCAAGGUUAAAAUUUGGAACUCAUUGUAGUAAUCAUCAACAGUUUUAUCAUCUUGUGUCAAACGUCGUAAUUUUGAACGCAAGUUAAAAGCAUAACUAAAAAGGACAUAUUUUUCUCUCAUGAUUUUCUUCAUAUCAACCCAAGUGUGGGGAAUUUUCUUUUCUCUAACUAUCUCAUUCCACCAAGAUAAAGCAUCAAAACGAAAUUUACUACUAGCAAUUUGGACCUUACGACUAUCUAGUACAUGGAAGCAUGUGAAUUGCUCAAUUAGAGCUAUUUCCCAAUCAAUAUAAGCUUCAGCAUCGUUAUUUCCAUCAAAGAAAGGUCCAAAACAAUUAUUGACAUUACAAGGAUUGCGAUAUACCUUUGCCUUGCCAAUGUCAACAAGAGACGAGGAGGAUGGAUGUGGUGAAAAACGCUCAUGUCGUUCACUUGAUAGCAUAGGCCUAUUUUCCAUUCUUCGUGUAAGUCCUGUCAUGGUUCUAGGACAAGGUAACUAAUUCUAAUUUUUGUUUGGCUUUUU